AAGAGAAGGAUUGCUCCCGCCGCGGGGGAGGAGGAGCGUCGUCGUCAGCGAAGAUGCCGUCUUCUUCGACUGAGAAGUCGUCAGUAACCGCGACGUUACGGACGAAGCGAGAGGAAGCGGCGGAGAUGGAGAGGGAGAGGGAGGCGGAGAGGGAGUGGAGAUUGAAGGAGAGGGAAGGAGGUGAGAGGGAAGCGGAGGCGGGUCUGGAGAUGGAGAAAGGAAGGGACUUGGGGGUGAAGGUGGAGAGAGCGAGAGAGGAAGCUGAAGCAGCCAUGGUGAAGAGAUGAGAAGAGAUAAGGUUUGUUUUUAGCUUUAGGGGUUUUUUGAGAGUGGAGAUAAGAUGGUGUGUUUCUGAUAUUUAUGGGCCAAAUGGGAAUAAAUAUCUUUGCACAAAAUAUCUCAUUCUGAUUUUUAUUUACAAAAUUUGCCUCAAAACUUUAUUUUAUUGCUAAAUAUUCUGCUGCUAAUAAAAUUUGUCAAAUUUUGAUGAAUUUAUCUUAACGUCAUCUCUAAAAAAAGUAUGUAUUUAAAAAAAAUAUAGGUUUUCAUAAAUUUGUACACAAUUUUUUUAGAAAAUCUUAAUUUUCAAAAUAUUUUGUAUUUUCUCACUUUAGUGGUGUUAUCUUUAGUGAGAUGACAGAUGAGAUGAGAUCUAAGCCGUAGAGUUUUGGAUGGACAGUGGAGAUGGCACGUCUCAUGCCAAGGCCCCAAAAAUAUAAAAAAUCUAUAAGAUAGGAUAUUUUAACUAAAAGCCAAUGGAAUUAACAACUCUCGUUCCAGCACAGAUCUUUAACUCCAAUAAAUUCAGAAAACAAUACAGUUCCUUUAAAGAAAACCACUGAAUCAUACAAAGGUUGCUCCAUUCAAAACAAGUUAAUAAGAAACUAUUUAUUUGGAUAACAAUAGAAGACUGAAGUUCUUGAACUGCAAAACGCUUUUAGGAUCUCUUCAAUUGGAGGGUCAUCUCCAGCUUCUUUGUCCUGAAACGUUCCAACAAACAAGUUGUUGAGUACGAGAUUGUGAUUAAUUUACCCCUUUGAUUACAUUGACAUGGUGUAAACACAAGUAUUUGAUCAAAACGUGUUACCUGGUCCAUACUCCCCGGUCCGAUCAAAACAUGAGAAACACCAGAUGCAUCCAUCACAUGCUAAGAAAACCUCAAAUGUAUCACUUAAUGAAAUGAUCAAAACCACAUCAAGAUUUUGACAUUGUUGUUUUUACUCCGGGAAAGCCGAAAGAAAUAAGAAAAAUCCUAACUUUAAGUUUUAGUUAGAAAAAAAAAUCAAAUUAAAAAAAUCUCGUGGAGUGGAGUUAUUACACGUUGCAUAGAUGACGUAAGCAUUGUCCGAAACAGAAAAAGUCAAACGCCACGUAAGCUCAGUAAGGGUAAAAAGUUUUGGAAAGGUAGAUCCUUUUCUAAAAGCGAAUGUUCCUUCUUUGCACGUUCAAGCGAUCUCAAGCCGCUCCUCUCUCUCUCUCUCUAUCAUCUCUGAAAUGGCGAGAGUACUGCGUGUGGCGAGAUCCUCCUCCUCCCUCUUCAGCUUCGGAAGCAGAUCUUAUUCAGCCGAAGCUAGCCACGUGUCCUCUCCCCCUCCUCCGUUUCUUGGAGCUCGCAGAGACGUUACCAAGGAGAGAAACGUGCAGUGGGUGUUCCUCGGUUGUCCCGGUGUCGGGAAGGGGACUUACGCCAGCAGACUCUCGAGUCUCCUCGGUGUUCCUCACAUCGCCACCGGAGAUCUCGUCCGUGAUGCGCUAGCUUCUUCCGGACCUCUCUCCCGACAGGUUCUUGUUUCACUUUAUGUCCAAAUGAAUCCCAAAACGACGUCGUUUUCUGUUUAAAUCUGCUAAAAGUUCAUGUGUCUACCAACAGAUCUAAUGAACUAGUGUUUGUUUUGUCCUAACGGAUCUGAUCCUUUUUCUAAUAAUAGUCAACGGCUCUCUCCUCUUGCUUGUAUUGAGAUUCUUAUUACUUGAUUGCAGCUAUCAGAGAUUGUAAACCAGGGGAAGCUUGUUUCUGAUGAGAUCAUAGUGAACUUAUUAUCAAAGAGACUUGAAGCUGGUGAAGCCAAGGGCGAAUCAGGUUUCAUUCUUGAUGGCUUUCCUCGUACCAUGAGACAAGCUGUAAGUUAAUUCAUUGACUUCACAUCAUAUUGAGCAAAGUUUUGAAUGAUUAAUCUUUGUGUUUUCAGGAAAUAUUAGGAGAUGUCACUGACAUCGAUCUAGUGGUGAACUUAAAGCUACCUGAGGAGGUUUUGGUUGACAAAUGCUUAGGGAGGAGAACGUGUAAUCAAUGCGGUAAAGGUUUCAAUAUAGCUCACAUCAACUUAAAGGGUGAGAAUGGGAAACCAGGAAUCAGCAUGGAUCCACUUCUCCCUCCACCUCAGUGUAUGUCAAAGCUCAUCACUCGUGCUGAUGAUACUGAGGAGGUUGUGAAAGCUAGGCUCCGUAUUUACAAUGAAACCGUAAGUCCUCUUUCUCUCUCUCUAUUGUUCUUCCCAUUUUAGCGAUGCUUGAUGCUUUGAAUGAUGUGUGCAGAGCCAGCCUCUUGAAGAGUACUACCGUAUCAAGGGAAAGCUGAUGGAGUUUGACUUACCUGGAGGCAUCCCUGAGUCUUGGCCAAGGCUGUUAGAAGCUUUAAGGCUUGAUGAUUACGAGGAGAAGCAAUCUGCCGCGGCGUAGUUCAACUACAACUCCGGUUUAUAAUUCUUUGCAUGUGGAAGACAUGUGCCUAUAUCAGUUUUGUGUUGGAAAAUAAAGAAAACCUUAGAUUGUUUUUUUUUAUUGCCUCAGAUCAGAAUAAUCAUCAUCAUACACACUUUGCAAACUAUAUGAUGUAUCAUGAUUGUUUAUGAGUUUGCUAGUUACAGGAAUGUAUAAACACUUUGGUACACUUUUGAUUAUUUAUUGUUGAAUGUGAUCAAUGAUUGUUUAUGAGUUUGCUAGUUACAUUACAUGAAUGUAUCAAUACUUACACUGCUUGUUACACAUCAGGUUUGAUGUUUGGGCUCUUGUGAUUAGUUUGUUUAUUGUUGAAUGUGUGUGAUAAUAUUGCGGCUGGCCGAGCUGGCUGGUUAAAGAACACAACCAGACAGUAAAGUAAAACAGUCGCAUACAUUAAAGAUUUUGUGGAACGUAUAACCAGCUCCUGUCUGUCCUAGAAUUGGCGGUUCGGGAUAGAACUGUUCCUUACAUACUGGAACUUCCAGUAGAAUUUGAUGCUAAUUGUUGGUCCUAAACUAGUGUGUAUCAGUUGCUAUGUGAUCUCAUAACUGGACCUUAUCUUAUGGUUUGUGCUUGAGGUUUCUGAGAAAUCGCUGGGUUCAUUUGAUUCUUCUGGUUUGACAAUUAGUUUCUUGUUAUGGACACGGUGAAAUCAGACUCAAAUCGGUGGAAUAAGACAGCCUCAAAGAAGGCAGACAUAAUCAUGUUUGCUCUUGAUUCAUCUUCAAUCUCAACAGGACAUUAAAAUCAAUUUGUAGCUUUAUUUUGUUAGUAUAUAGAUUUGAUGAAAUAAACAACCUUUAAAUUAUAAAUAUAAAGAUGAAAAUAUUCUUAAACAUGAAACCGUUUUGAUCAAGAUUCAAAAAAAACUUCAUUAAAAGAUAGGGACAUCUUCUGAAACAUAUCCAAAAAGCUCUAAUGAAAAACAGCAAGAUAAGGUCUUUGAGAUGUAAUGCAAACUCAAGGCCUAGGAAGAUCCUCCUUAACGGUUGGCCUUCGCAACUCUCUCAAUCUCAUCCUUCUUCUUGAUGGCAUAGCUGCAAAAAAACAAGACAAGAUGCUAUUAGUAUUUAGCAACAAACAAACACAAUUUGUGAACCCGCUUUAAGAGACAAGACAAUGUAAAGAUGUUUACCUGUUGGAAGAUCCCUUGGCAGCAUUGAUGAGCUCAUCAGCAAGGCACUCAGCGAUUGUCUUGAUGUUUCUAAACGCAGCUUCACGUGCACCAGUGGUGAGCAAGAAGAUGGCUUGGUUCACACGUCUUAGAGGAGAGAUAUCAACAGCCUGCCUCCUAACCACACCAGCAGAUCCAAUCCUCGUCGCAUCCUCACGUGGACCACUAGCUCACCAAUAAAACACACACAACAUUAGAAAAAAAGGUUUCUAGUAACACGCAAUAAAGAAUGCAACAUUGUUGUCUUACCUGUUGACAAUGGCAUCAAUGAUAACCUGAAUAGGGUUCAAGUCAGUCAAGAGAUGGAUGAUCUCCAUGGCGUGCUUGAUGAUCCUCACAGCCAUCAGCUUCUUUCCGUUGUUCCUUCCGUGCAUCAUGAGAGAGUUCGUGAGCCUCUCAACGAUUGGGCACUGAGCCUUCCUGAACCUCUUCACAGAGUAUCUUCCAGCAGUGUGGGGGACAAAGGUCGCGUGCUUAGCAGGCUGAACACCAAUGUAGUCAACAAGACUAAUGUCUGUGACCUACCCAUUCACAAAAAAAAAAAACACAAGAUCAACAAAACAAAUACUAAGAACAUAGCCAUUGUUGCCAAUUUAAAUUUUAGAGAUCUAAUAUUCAAAAACAAACCAAACAACACAGAAAGUGUUGGACUUUAAGACAAAGAAACAUCAGGAUCAACCAAGUGUACUGAGACAAUAAAACAUGAAUUGAAAAUUAACAAAAAUAAAAACAAAAAGAGGACAUUUUUUCCGACAUAACUCCAUGAGUUAUAUCUAAUUCAGACAAUGUAACUAUUUUUUUGUAAUAGACCAAUCAUUUCAUUGUAGAAUUAGAUCCUAUAAAGAUUGCAAAUGAGCUAUCGUAAACUUACCGAAACGUCAUCAAAGCUCCAGCGAUUGAAGAGCUUGACCUCGUUGGUAAGCUGCUGCUGAAUCUCAGCGUCAAUCUCAACGGCGGCGGCCAUGGCUGGAAACACCAAACAAAAGCUUAGCCACAAGCACACACGCAAACCAGAGAAUCGAAGAUGAAGAAGAAAUCAAUACCUCAAACUCGUAAGCGUCGUGNNNNNNNNNNNNNNNNNNNNNNNNNNNNNNNNNNNNNNNNNNNNNNNNNNNNNNGCGUCGUGUGGAGAUGAGACGGGACUAGGUUUAGCUGCAGCUACUGCUUGAAGAAGGUGGUGAGAAGAAACAAAAACCCUAAUUUUACUAGAGUAUAGGGUUUUUAAAAUGGAUUUUAUUGGGCCCAAUGGGCUUUUCGUAAGGCCCAGUCCAAGUCGUUAUACCAUAAGUCUUUAGAGCAUACUAGAAAGAGAGCAUUCAAUGCGGGAUGUCGACUUGCUAGCUCUCGUCCAUGCACCGUCCGUCGCCAUCAAUCCGUGAGUUUUUAUCGGUUUUUGUUCAAUGACUCCAACGAACUUUGAAAGAUUUGCCCACUCUUCCUUGCAAAUUAAUCACGAGAUCAUCGCCUUGUACUUGUUACUCCAUUUUGUCGUAUUAUCAUAUUUACUUGUUACUCCAUAUUGUCGUAUUAUCAUAUUUUUAUAAGAUAUUCACUAACAGUAACAGAUAAGUCAUUCUUAUCCUAAAGUCAUUUUAAUUCAGAGACGACAAAAUUUAGGAAAAAUAAAUUCUAGAUGAUUUAUCGAAAAAUAUUUGUGUGUAAUGUUAUAGUCAGUUAACUUAAUUCGUUUGCAAUUUCUAGGAAUAAAAAUAUGACAGUCUAAUUCGUUAAAUUAGUAUACUUUCCCAAAAAGACAAAUAAUACAAGCUGAUCUUGAAGAAUCAAUAAAUUAAUGUGAAAAUGAUAGACAAUGAACGUGAAGAUUGCUUGAGAUAUGAUAAGAUACUUUCAAUGCUCCCGACAAGAAAAGCAUUAAUUUGGACUCGUUGAUGCAUGGGGUAGAUAAGAGUGGACAGGGGAGCUUGCAGAGAUUGGAAACAAGUAUGGGGGAUCGAGUUUCAAGAGCAUCUCCUCAAGAAAUGAACAUGAGGAUGAGAACAUUUCUCGUCGACACACAAACUGCUAAGAUAAACUAUUGUGGUAAGAUAGAAUAUAUGUACCACAUCAAUGUCCUAGCUAAGAAUAGAUACCACAGCAAUGUUCUAGCAAAGCAAUAUUGUCGAAAGUUUGUUCAUCUAUAAUUUUCUUUUCCUUUUAAUUAAUUAAGAUGGGUGCAAUUUUUGCCUAGCAACACUAGAAUAUAGAAUAUGGACCACUUAUGUAAUUUAAGCAUGCAUAAUGGCACACUAUAAGUACUAGCUUUUAAAUAAAUAAAGUGAUCCUUCAAUUAAUUAGGUAUUUCAUAUUCUCAAAGUAAGUUAGGUAAUAAUACUUUAAUUUCCACACUUUCUUGACCCAAUAAAACUCCCCAAUAUAUUAUUUGUAGUCUACUUUUUUUUAUUAAAUUUGUAGAUAUUGUUAGAGGAAUAUAGUAUGUUUUCUUUUGAAUUAUUAUCUCUUUUUAUUUAUUUUUAUUUCAAAUAAUAAGUUUGUUUAUUUUUAAGAAGAAUAUCCUACCUCUAGUCAAUUCAAAUUGUUUGUUUCCGACCAUAUUCCAAUCAUGGUAAAUUACCCAAAAAGAACACAAAAUAAUGACGUUGAGACACUCUCAAAAGUUAGCACGUAACAAUUGUAGUAGUGAAAAGACGUCUAAGCAUAUUAAAUAUAUUUACACUUUGAAGACAAAUGCAUAUCUCAUUAUUGACUAUUCAUCAGAUAAGAAGCCAAGAGAGUACUCACUGAGACAUGAGUGGUGAUGAUUUGAGAAUGGAGCUUGCAGAGAUUGGAAAAAGCAUGGGGUCGAGUUUCAGGAGCAGCUCCUCAAGAAACGAGGAUGAGGCAGAGCAUGCUCUGCAGUGGGCUGAGAUCCAAAGAUUACCUAGUUUCAAACAACUGAGAUCAUCUCUGGUCGAUGAAGAAGGGGAUGAUGUGGAGAAAGGGAAAAGGGUCGUUGAUGUCACCAAGCUUGGAGCCAUGGAACGUCGUCUGAUGAUUGAGAAGCUGAUCAAACACAUUGAGAAUGACAAUCUCAAGCUGCUCAAGAAAAUUAGAAGAAGAAUAGACAGGUAUAUGUGAAAACAAAGAAACAAACCUUGUGAAUCUUGAACUGAGUUGUUACUUUGCAGGGUUGGUGUGGAGCUUCCAAGCAUAGAGGUGAGGUAUAAGCAUCUAAGUGUUGAAGCAGAAUGUGAGGUCGUUGAAGGGAAGGCGCUUCCAACUUUAUGGAAUUCUUUGAAGCACAUUUUCUUAGUGAGUAUACUUGAGAAUAUAAUGCAUUUUGCCAGUAGGUAGUAAAUUGUUGUGAACAAACGCGAAUUAACUUCAAAGAAAACAAAAAAAACUUGAAAAGAACAAAGCACGAUUGAGGCAAAUAUCAUUUUAAAAUUUGUAUAUUGAUUAUGUGAAUAAUUAAAUCUACAACAACUUAGACAGUUGUUAACAUAACUAGUAUUGAACUAUACUUUUUUCUUCUUUAGGAGUUGGUAAAGCUGAGUGGUGUAAGAACACAUGAAGCCAAGAUAAGCAUACUUAACGAUGUUAGCGGCAACAUUAACCCUGGAAGGUAGCUUUUGAUCCAAGCUUUGAGUUAGUGUGUAAUGCACGCAACUAAUGCUCUCUUCUUGUUGCUCCAAGGUUAACACUGCUGCUUGGUCCUCCUGGAUGUGGAAAAACUACUCUGCUCAAGGCUUUGUCCGGAAACUUGGACAAGAAUCUAAAGGUUUUCAGACUUUGUUUCAAUCUGAUUCUCAUGAUGCAGAUGUGUAAACCACAGAACUCUUUUGUUUUCCACAGAUUUCUGGUGAAAUCUCUUACAAUGGACACGGUCUAAACGAGUUUGUUCCUCAGAAGACAUCCGCUUACAUAAGCCAACACGAUCUGCACAUUGCGGAGAUGACUGUUAGGGAGACAAUAGACUUCUCAGCUCGUUGUCAAGGUGUUGGUAGUCGAACAGGUAAGAUGUCUUCUGAAGCAUCCGCUAAACUAUUUGCUGAAACAGAUAUAUCAAUUUUCUCUGUACCAAUGUUCAAAAAGUUGUUUGGCUAUAACUAUGCAUUUUAUAGAGGACUACCGAUUAGAUUGAUUAUUCGGGGCAGUGCUAACGAAAUAUUGAUUUGUUUUAUAUAUUUUUUACAUUUUUAUAUGAUAUUUUUUGGCUUUAAUUAUAAAACUAUUUUGAUGAAUUGUAAAAAUUAAAUAUACAAAAUAAAACAAAUUAGAAAAAUCUGUGGAUUUGCACUAACAUAAUUGGUUAAUUUAGAUUGAUUUAAACCAAUUUUAACUGAUUUAGAACAAUUCAAACCGAUUUGAAUCAUGCUCUAUACUAUUGGCUGAAACAGAUAUUAUGAUGGAGGUCAGUAAAAGAGAAAAGGAUGGUGGAAUCAUUCCUGACCCUGACGUAGAUGCUUACAUGAAGGUCCCAUUCCAUAAGCUAAUCUUUUAAGAGGGAUGAUUAUAAAACCUUUUGUUAAUCCCAUUGUGCAGGCUAUAUCGGUUAAUGGACUUAAAAGAAGUCUACAAACAGAUUACAUCUUGAAGGUAAUUUCUCUGACAACAACUCAGACUUGUAAUCCUUGUUGAUUAGCUUCUUGAUUAUGUCAUGUAUUUGCAAUUUGCAUUUCUUUUUCUUCAGAUCCUAGGGCUUGACAUAUGUGCAGAAACAUUGGUUGGUAAUGCCAUGAAAAGAGGCAUAUCUGGUGGUCAAAAGAAGCGUCUUACUACAGGAGAGAUGAUCGUUGGUCCAACAAAAGCUCUGUUUAUGGAUGAAAUCACAAACGGCUUAGACAGCUCCACAGCGUUUCAGAUAGUUAAGUCACUUCAGCAGCUGGCUCACAUCACCGACGCAACUGUGUUUGUUUCCCUUCUUCAGCCUGCUCCAGAGUCAUAUGAUCUCUUUGACGAUAUUGUCUUGAUGGCUGAAGGAAAAAUAGUUUAUCAUGGUCCAAGAGGCGAGGUCUUGAGGUUCUUUGAAGAGUGUGGGUUUAGAUGCCCAGAGAGGAAAGGUGUUGCAGACUUUCUACAAGAGGUAAGAAGCCAAGUUUAUGUUCCUUGACACUUACGUUUUGUUCUGAGUUGUUUUUGUUUUGCAGGUUAUAUCUAGGAAGGACCAAGGACAGUACUGGCUGCACCAGGACAUACCCUAUACCUUUCUCUCAGUAGACGCGUUGUCCAGGAGAUUCAAGGAGUUAGAGAUUGGGAGAAAGAUUGAGGAUGCUCUCUCUAAGCCCUAUGAUAAUUCAAAAACCCACAAGGAUGCUCUCUCUUUCAGUGACUAUUCUCUUCCAAAGUGGGAGCUGUUCAGAGCAUGCAUCUCAAGAGAGUUUCUAUUAAUGAAGAGAAACUCUUUCGUCUACCUCUUCAAGACGUUUCAGGUUACAUUCUUCGUUCCUUGUGUCUUCUUUCAAUGUUCUAGGGUUAGGUCUAAAGAAACCCUUCUUGCCCUUUAUGUUUUGCAGCUUGUUCUGUCAGCAAUCCUCACUAUGACAGUUUUUAUUAGAACACGUAUGGGUGUAGAUAUCAUUCAUGGAAACUCUUACAUGAGUUGUCUCUUUUUCGCAACCGUUGUGCUUUUGGUGGAUGGUUUGCCAGAGCUGUCUAUGACUGUUCAACGUCUUGCCGUGUUCUACAAGCAAAAGCAACUUUGUUUCUAUCCAGCUUGGGCUUAUGCAAUCCCUGCAACCGUGUUAAAGAUCCCUCUCUCUUUCUUCGAAUCUCUCGUUUGGACUUGCCUUACUUACUACGUCAUUGGAUACACUCCUGAAGUCUCUAGGUAAGAAGAACUCUAUAACCAUCUCUUGCUUGCUCCCUACUCAAACGAUUAUGGAAAGUAAUGGUUACUUGGUGUUUUUAGGUUCUUACGUCAGUUCAUGAUGCUCUUUGCUGUUCACUUCACAUCCAUAUCCAUAUUCCGAUGUAUAGCUGCAAUCUUUCAGACAGGAGUUGCUUCAAUGGCAGCUGGUAGUUUCGCCGUAUUAAUCACCUUUGUGUUCGCCGGUUUCGCCAUCCCAUACAGUAAGACUUUUGCACUCUUUCUUCAUUUCAGUCUUGUUCCAAACUUCCAUCAAAACAUGACCAGGGCCGGAUCUAGGCACAGCCCAAUAAAACAUCGGUCUCGGUCCCUAAAUUUUUUGAAAUUUUUAGUACGAAUAAACCCCUAAACUAUAGAAAAAAAAAAUUGUUUUACUAAGAUUUUUAAAUGUUUCAAGCUCCCAAAAUCUCAUAUCCGGCCCUGAACGUGACAUUGGUUUUGUUGCUGCAGCUGAUAUGCCAGGGUGGCUGAAAUGGGGAUUCUGGGUGAAUCCUAUAGGUUACGCAGAGAUUGGGCUCUCUGUAAACGAGUUUCUUGCUCCGAGAUGGCAGCAAGUAAGUAUCUCAUCUUUUUACAUACUUCUCUUCAUCAUUCUUACAAGACUAAUCAAGUUUUUCUUGUUAUGUUUUGUAGAUGCAACCAACGAAUGUUACAUUGGGGAGAACCAUACUUGAAAGCAGAGGACUGAACUAUGAUGAUUACAUGUACUGGGUCUCAUUAUGUGCCUUGCUGGGACAGACUCUCCUCUUCAAUACUAUUUUCACUCUAGCUUUGAGUUUCUUGAAAUGUAAGUUACAAAAUAUCGAAAAAUAUGCCAUGGACUAAAGCAUAAACUGAAGAGCUUCUUUUUUAACAGCUCCCACUACAUCUCGCGCUAUGAUCUCCAAAGACAAGCUCUCUGAGCUGCAAGGAACAAAAGAUUCAUCACUCAAUAAGAACAAGAAGGCAAUAGAUUACACAGAAGAUUCAGGUGAAACAUAUAUGUCUUUCUUGUCAUACAAGCAAACUCUUUAUUCUCAGUUUAGCUUUAUUGACCUAAUUCAUUCAGCAGGGAAGAUGGCCUUACCUUUUAAGCCUCUCACCAUAACAUUUCAAGAUUUGAACUACUACGUUGACGUUCCUGCGGUAAAAUCUUCUCCUCCCCAUCCUUGGAUCUUAACCAUCUUCAUAUGCAAACAUGAUCAUCAAAGGACGUUUUGACUAAUCUUAGGAGAUGAGAGUUCAAGGAUACAAUGAGAAGAAACUGCAGCUUCUCUCAGAUAUCACCGGAGCUUUCAGACCAGGCGUUCUAACAGCGUUGAUGGGGAUCAGUGGAGCCGGAAAAACAACUCUACUCGACGUUCUCGCCGGAAGAAAAACAAGCGGAUACAUCGAAGGAGAGAUCAGAAUCAACGGAUACUUUAAAGUCCAAAAAACCUUCGCAAGAGUCUCAGGCUACUGCGAGCAAACAGAUAUACACUCACCAAACAUCACCGUCGAGGAGUCUCUAAUCUACUCAGCUUGGCUCCGUCUAGUUCCAGAAAUAGAUCACAAAACCAAAAUAGUAAGCCGGCCCUAGUGAUUCUAAAAAAGGCAAGAAUGACCUAGAAAGUAACUUGACUGAAAAGAAACUCGUUGCAGAGAUUCGUGAAGGAAGUUCUUGAGACGAUAGAGCUGGAGGAGAUCAAGGACGCGAUGGUGGGAGUCCCCGGCCAGAGCGGGCUGUCGACGGAGCAGAGGAAGAGGUUGACGGUGGCGGUGGAGUUGGUGGCGAAUCCUUCGAUCAUAUUCAUGGACGAGCCGACGACGGGGCUGGACGCAAGAGCAGCAGCCAUUGUGAUGAGAGCUGUGAAGAACGUUGCGGAGACUGGACGUACCAUUGUGUGCACUAUUCAUCAGCCUAGUAUCGAUAUUUUUGAAGCCUUCGACGAGGUACAUAUGUUUUUCAAAUAUGAAAAGUAUUUAUAGUGGUUUUGUUUUAAAAGAAUACUCUCACAUGUAUUAUAUUAACAUUUUAUCCAAAAGUAGAUAUAAGAGAUUUUUUUUCUUCAAAAUAGCCUUUAUCAAAAAUUUGAAAAUUAUAGAAUAAUUGAGUUUAGGGUUUAAAAGGGAUGGGUGAGAUUAGGUUUUAUAAAUUAAAGUAACUUAAUUUUUUUUAUUUAAAUGAGUGUGUUUUGAAGAUCUGUUAGUGUUAUAUUUGUGAUAAACUUUAAAAGUGCUAUUUUGGAGUUUUGACUAUUUUGUGGAUAAUUAAGAAGAAAUUUCUUAUAACAUAUUGUUUUUAUUACAUGUUCAGUUGGUACUUCUGAAGAGAGGAGGUCGCAUGAUUUACACUGGACCACUUGGACAACAUUCUUCUCAUGUCAUACAGUAUUUUGAGGUUAGCGUGUUAUACAAGAAAAUGAGCCAGUUUAGUUUCUAUGACUUUUUCAAUGUUUUAACGAAAUAAUUAACUAUGUAUAUUUUUGUUAUUUGGGGUUAAUGAACAGAGUAUCUCUGGAGUUGCUAAGAUUAAAGACAACUACAAUCCAGCAACAUGGAUGCUAGAGGUCACUUCACAGUCUGUAGAGAUUGAACUCAACAUGGAUUUUGCAAAAAUCUACAAAGAAUCUGCUCUCUACAAGUGAGCUGAAUAUCUCAAAAACAACUGAAACCUUGUCAUUUAUUACGAGCUCAUGUGUUUUCUCUGUAGCAGGAGCAACUAUGAGCUUGCUCAGGAGCUGAGCAAACCGGAUCCCGGGUCAAGCGAUUUACAUUUCGAGAGAACUUUUGCGCAGAGCUGGUGGGAACAGUUCAAAUCUUGUCUAUGGAAGAUGAGCUUGUCUUACUGGAGAAGCCCUGCUUACAACUUGAUGCGAAUCUUUCACACUUUAGUCUCUUCUUUGAUCUUUGGUUUACUCUUCUGGAAGCAAGGUCAAAAGAUGUAAGUUAGUUGCAUAAAAUACAUUCAAAUCAUCAUUAGAGCAUGUUCAUUAGUGAGACCCUUAAGUGUCUCUUAAGUGGGGUUUAAUAAUUUUUUAACUAUUAAAUUUAAUAUAAGAGAUUUUGUUAAGAAACACUUAAUUAUAGUGGUUUAUUGGUGGUUUCUUAAUUAAGGUGCUUAACAAAUAAAAAAAUAUUAAACUUUUUUUAAACAUAAAAUUUUAAACAAAGAUUAAUUUUAUUUAUUAAAUAAAACAAAGUCAAACAUAACAUUUUAAACAUAGAUUUUAAAAUAAAAAAAAUUAAAACAUUAAAACAAAGAUUACUAAAAUAAACAAUACUAAUUUUAAAGCGGCAUCCAAGUUCAGUUGUUGUGUUGAUCACGUCCAAAUUUAUGCCAUAUAUGUUCAACCAAAUCACCUUUCAGUUGUUGAUGCGCUUGUCUAUCACGAAUUCUUGUUCGAACACCCAUCUGAUUGGCGAUAUUUGUAGGGAUAUCUGUAGAAUAUGUUAAAUCUACAUAUGAACUUCUGCUGCCUUCGCCUUGUUGGAAUCCCGAGACAUCAAACUAACUGCAUUCAUCCCGUUCGUUUUCUACUAUCAUAUUAUGGAGUAUGAUACAUGCUCUCAUAAUCUUCCCAAUCUUGACUUUAUCCCAACAAAGUGCUGGAUUUUUAACAAUGGCAAAUCGAGCUUGCAAGACUCCGAAAGCACGCUCGACAUCUUUUCGGGCAGCUUCUUGAUGUUGAGCAAAUAAAACUGCUUUCGGCCCUUGUGGAAGUGAAAUAGAUUGGAUGAAAGUUGCCUAUUUCGGAUAAAUUCUAUCGAUCAGAUAGUAAGCCAAAUCAUACUCUUUUCCGUUGACUGAGAAAUUCACUUGCGGGGCUUGACCAUUUAUGAUGUCAUCAAAAACAGGUGAGCGAUCUAGAACAUUAAUAUCAUUUAAGGUACCUGGAGGUCCAAAAAACGUAUGCCAUAUCCAGAGAUCAUAUGAAGCAACCGCCUCUAAAACUAUUGUGGGUUUCCCCGAACCACGAGAAUAUUGCCCUUUCCAAGUGGUGGGACAAUUCUUCCACUCCCAAUGCAUACAAUCGAUGCUUCCUAUCAUCCCGGGAAAUCCACGAACCUCUCCAAUAUAAAGUAGACGUUGAAGGUCAUCCGGUGUUGGUCUUCUUAGGUACUCAUCGCCGAACAAAUUUAUGAUUGCUUCCACAAAAUUUUCCACACAUAACCGAACAGUGGUUGCACCGAGCCUGAGGUAUUCGUCGACCGCAUCAAGCGCAGAACCAUAUGCCAACACACGAAUAGCUGCUGUACACUUUUGAAGCGGGGAGAGACCUUGCCUUCCGGUAACAUCCUUCUUCUGACGAAAGAAUUGGACUUCGUUGGAGAGGCGAUCAACAAUAUACAUGAACAAAGGCUUGUUCAUUCUAAAUCGACGUCGGAAUAGAUUUGCUGGAUAUGUCGGCGCGUCACUGAAAUAAUCAUUCCAUAACCGGAGAUGGCCUUCUUCACGAUUUCUUUCAAUAAAAACUCUCUUUUUCUUUUUCUUCCUUUGAUCUUGUUGAUCACCAUAAACAUUGCACAAAUUCUCAAAUGUUUGUUCGAAAGUCUGAUCAAAAUAUUUAUCGAACAUUUCAUCAAAUGACUCAUCCAAAUCAAAUGACUCAUCCGAGAUGUGAUUUGAAGACGAAGCCAUGAAAGACUUGAUUUCGAAAAUUUAAGAAUGGUGAGUGUGUGAACGUGAGAUGAAAAAGAGAAGGAAGAGAGAACAAAGAGAACCGAGAGAAUGAGAACGUAGAGAAUUGUGAGUAUGAUCAGUUUUUAUUUUACAAAGAGAAUGAAGAACCGAGAGAAGAACAUGAGACUAUAGAGAUAGAGAAUGGUAAGAGAGAAUGGUGAUUUCUUUACGCUCUCAGCACAAACAUUUUAUAACCGUCACCGUUAGAGAGAGAGAGCUCGCCGUUGUCCAUCGUCGACGAGAGAAACCCAUAGAAACGUCGACAAGCUCAACGGAGAGGGAGAGAGAGGAAACGCCGUUUCGUCGACGAGAUCACCGAGACAGAGAGAGAGAGAGAGAGAGGAAUCACCUUUUCGUCGAGGAGAGCACCGACAGAGAGAGAAAGAGCUCGCCGUUGUCCAUCGUCGACGAGAGAAACCAAUAGAGACGUCGACGAGCUCAACGGAGAGGGAGAGAGAGGAAACGCUGUUUCGUCGACGAGAUCACCGAGACAGAGAGGGAGAGAGAGAGGAAUCGCCUUUUCGUCGAGGAGAGCACCGACAGAGAGAGAAAGAGCUCGCCGUUAUCCAUCGUCGACGAGGAAUAUCCAUAGAGACGUCGACGAGCUCAACGGAGAGGGAGAGAGGAAUCGCCGUUGUCGUCACUCUUGCGGAGCAACCGAGAAGAGAAAGGAAAGAGAGAAAGAAACAAGAACGACUUCACCGUUCGGAGAGCCAAUAACGACGUGACACGUCGCCCAAAUUACCGUGUCUUCGAGCACUUAAUUAGGGGACGUCCCUUGGCUUUAUUUCGUGUUUUCCAUUUUUUUUUAUGAUUAAUUAAGUUAAGGGACAUGCUUAAGAGCUGCCUUUGAACAUGCUCUUACAUUCCUAGUAAAGAACUGUCUCACACAUUAGGAAAGUACUAUUUUAUUUCAAAAAUAGCACACAAGAAUAUUUUUUUCCAAAAGAGUAUUAACUAAAAGUAUAUGGGUGUGGAUUUAGUGAUUAUGAUUUAGGGUUUAAUAUUUAGAGAGUGGAGUUAGGGUAAGAGUUUAGGAUACAGAGUAAUUUAGUCAAUUUAAUCUUUAACUAAUUAUAGUUUGAGAAUUUUUCUCUUAUGUUCUAUUUUUGUCAUAAUUGUUUGUAUUUUUUUUUUUUUGGCAGAGAUACUCAACAGAACUUGUUCACAGUUCUUGGAGCCAUCUAUGGCCUUGUGAUAUUCUUGGGGGUAAACAACUGCACUUCAGCUUUACAGUAUUUUGAGACAGAGCGUAACGUUAUGUACCGCGAAAGAUUCGCUGGAAUGUACUCUGCCUUUGCCUUUGCACUGGCUCAGGUUGUGACCGAGAUUCCUUACAUUUUCAUCCAAAGCGCAGAGUUUGUGAUCAUAAUAUAUCCUAUGAUGGGUUUAUACGGAUCUGCCUAUAAAGUCUUUUGGAGUCUCUACUCAAUGUUCUGCAACUUACUCUCCUUCAACUACUUAGCAUUGUUCCUCAUCUCCAUCACUCCAAACUUCAUGCUCGCAGCUAUUCUCCAGUCUCUUUUCUUCGUUGCUUUCAACCUUUUUGCUGGAUUCUUGAUUCCACUACCGGUAAGUUCUUUUUGUAACAAGUCAUUAUAUACCAUUAUCAUCAUCGUUGAUCUUUACCUAUAGUUAAUAGUGUUUUUCCUUGAUGUUGAAACAAUGCAGCAAAUACCAAAGUGGUGGGUGUGGCUUUACUAUCUAACACCUCCCUCUUGGAGUCUCAAUGUGUUUUUCUCGUCUCAGUACGGUGAUAUUCAUCAAGAGAUCAAUGCAUUUGGAGAAACCACGACCGUGGCGAGAUUCUUAGAGGACUAUUUUGGAUUCCAUUAUGAUCGUUUGAUGACUUCAGCCAUUAUUCUCAUAGCGUUUCCAGUUGCAUUGGCUUCUAUGUUUGCUUUCUUUGUUGCCAAACUCAACUUUCAGAAACGAUGAUCCAUCACACACCAACCAAAGGUUUGAAACACCAAAGGGUAGUUUACAAAUUACUGUAUGGACAUGCACGUAUUCGUUGUCACACUAUUUGUAAACACUAAACAAAUGCAAAAUUUAUUUAUAAAAUCAUAAGAAAGUUGGAUAUACUCUAAUGCAUCAAAAUAAAUAGGUCUACAACAUAAUAGUAACUCUCUUAUUUUUUUACCAUAGAGAAAUGAUCUACGGCUGAAUACUUCAAAUAUUAAUUAGUAUACUGCUUCAUGCAAUUGAAAUGAAUAGUAAAGUAUACUGCUUCCUUUAUUCAGGCACAUCAUAAUUUUCAAGAAGAAACGUCAUUUUCUUUCUUUGAUCACAAAAGACACAAGAAGAAAGAGACAUGUGUGUGUCUUGUCGUCCUCCCCAUCUCUACUAACACUUUGAAUUUAAUACUGUCAAACUCAAAGGUCUCCUAAAGCCUAAUUAAUCCCUUUAUGAUCACAUGCCCUUCUCCUUCCUCUCUCUCUCUCCAUUCUCCUAGUACCCAUCAAGAACUUCCACAAAAGUAUUAAACUGUAGCUUCAGGAUCCAACCUCAGAGAAACGGUUCUCAAUCAAGGUUAUUUGAGUAUUGGAUAUUCUUGAUUCUUGAACUCAGGAAAAGUCAUUACUAGCCUGUGAUUCUGCUUCAUGACUUGAGGUUGAAGCAACAACACUUUCUUCACCAGAAGAAACAUCUUUGAUCUUUGAACUUAACUCUUCUUUUUCUUCUUCCACGGAGGCAACAUUUUCAGUUUCUUGAUCAAUGUUUUCUUCCUCAACAAAUCCAUUUCCAUGAGUUUCUUUUUCCUCUCCUUCUUCCUUGGAAGCUGAGGUGGAAACCGAUGAUAAACAAGAAACUUCAGAUGAACUCAACUGCUCUGAUCCUUCAGAACUGCGAGACCCUUUUAUGGAUUCAAGCUUUUUCAUCAGAAACUUUAGUCUCUUCUCUGCUUUCUCCCUUAAUCUGAUCUCUUCUUUCAGAUUUUUCUCCAGCUCUUCCAUCUGUUUCCAAGAGAUUAAAGGUUUUCUUUGAAACAAAAAUCAGCUUAUUACCAAACAAAGAUUAAAAAAAAUAAAAAUAACAGAGCAAAUGAAUUUACAAGUAACAAGAAUGACUCUUUUCUUGGUUGUUGAUUAAACCCAAAUCUUCAAAAAAGUAGUGAGAAAAAGGCAUUUCUUAAACAAGAAUGAUGAUACUAAGGAUUUUAUGAAACUUACCUUUCUGGUAAUGAGGUCUGCUUCAUCUUUUACAGACCUUGAAACUUGCCUCUCUGCAAGCAGUCUCCCUCUUAGACACUCCACAGUUCUCAGAUUUCCCUUCUCUUCUCCUUCCUCCAUCUUCUUACUUGCAAAAUUUGUUCUUAAACAAAAAAAAAGAAGAUAAAAAUCAAUUCCUCAUAUACACUCUCUACAUAGAACUUUCUUAAAAUCACACAAUACGACAUAUACAUGUAUAUAAAGAGAAAGAGAAACCUGCAUUUCGUGUUGUAAUUGAAGGGAUCAAUUGUCAUACUGUUCUUUAUAUAUUCAAAAACCAGAACCAGAUUGGUAAAAGCUUGUAAAGCUCAACUUCUCACCUAACUGCAAAAAGGGUAAACUAAAAAUAAUAAGACAGUUAAGACCAAUGUGUUGUUAGAUUGAUGUCACUAUGAUUUACAUUUAUUGUUCAUUCAGUAAGAGGAACAUAUCAACAUCAUAUCUUAAAAACCAACUUACCACGACACAGUCGACACUCUUCUUUAACAAAAAAAAAAAAAAAAUCUCAAGUUCAAAUAGUAAAACAGAUCCAGUUUCAAAUUCAAACCCCCUCACUUGGUAGAGAAGAGUGAAAUGAACUUAAAACCACAAAAGUUUUGAAGUUCUCCUGAAAAGAAGAACAGAAUCUGUGGUGUAGGGACAUGUUGUAAGCAAAACGACAGUGUGGGAUUGGACUUUUGUUACCUUCUCGUGAGUUGGUUGGUAACUCUCCCACUUCAAGACCUUUUUUAUGGUUAAUAAAUUUAACUUCUUACUACAAGGUUAGUUUUAUAUUAUAUGAUACCGCAAAUAUGCAUGUGAACAAGAGGAGUCAUCCUAUUUGUUAAUAUUAAACCAUAUUGCUAUACAAUUUUAGUUUUACCAAGUGUCACAGAUCCCUUCGUCAACAAUAUCACAACAAUACAAAAACAACAUUUCUUGGCCACACAGAAAGUUAAUGCUCCCAAGUCCCAACCUCUCGCUAUAAUUUUACUAAAUAGUUUGUGUUAAUUUUCUUUUUCAAAUUAGAUAAUUAGUUACCAACACGCAAAGAAAACAUUCGAGUGAUUAAGAGCUCACUUGUACUUCACUCAAAGAUCAAAGUAAUUACCAUAACCCUUUUAAUCAAACUAUACUUAUUUUGUGAAGCAACCUAAUGAAUAUAUUCUUGUUCUUAUUAGGAACCCCGCCACUUCAAUCCAAGCCACUUAGUAACUCUCAAGUUAUAGCGAGCUUGGGUAUGAUCUUACCGAUCAUUCAAAGUUAUGUUCACUGACAACAAUAAAAACUACAUAUCAUGAAAAGCAAAAUCAUUACACAUAAACUCUUUUAGAAGCCCCACAAGAAACCCUUUUGAACUCAUUCGACUUCACGGCAAGAAAAUCAAAAAGCUUCAUCAAGCUCUUGUUUCAUGAUACACUCCUUGUCACUCAUCGACUCAACCACACCCUCUAUCAUCUCAUACAUCUCGUUGCUUCUCUCACACGAACCAUCUUUCGCAAUGAAACUUCGUAAUCCUUUACCAGUAUCGAUCCAGCUAGUUCCAGGGAUUUUCUUCAAUCCGAUUUUUUUCAUCUUAUCCCUUACCAUCUCAGCUUCUUCCCAUCUCCCUGCUUGAGUGCAUAGAUUCGCCAUGAUAGUGUAACUCCCUGUAUUUUCUGGUUACAAAAAUAGUAAUACUUAUAUAUAAAAAUUAAUUUUAUUUAAUAUAUUUUCAUUUUUAUAAUAGUAUAUAUAAAUUUNNNNNNNNNNNNNNNNNNNNNNNNNNNNNNNNNNNNNNNNNNNNNNNNNNNNNNNNNNNNNNNNNNNNNNNNNNNNNNNNNNNNNNNNNNNNNNNNNNNNUAUCAUUUUCGUUAAUGUAAUAGGAGGGCCAACCCAAACAGAGAUUGUCAUGAGCGAGAUAGACACACCAGAGAGCUUUCAGCUUAUGGAGUUUGGAGUUAUUUUCGAGGCGACGAAUCACUUUUCCGAAAGCAACAAAGUCGGACAAGGUGGUUUUGGUCCAGUUUACAAGGUAUUUUAAUUUCUCUAGCUAUUUGGACCGAAUCAAAUUAAACUUGAAUCGGCCGGUGACUUGUCUUUCAUUCAACUAAAAAACUAAUAAUAAUAAGGGAAAAUGUGAUGGUAUUGCAGGGAACCUUGCCUGAUGGAAACGAGAUCGCAGUAAAAAGAUUGAAAGCGAGAUCAUCUCAGGGGAUGGCAGAGUUCCGAAAUGAAGUGACUCUGAUUUUACGUGUACUACACGUGAACCUCGUCCGACUUCUAGGCUGUUGCAUCCAUGGAUACGAUAGACUAUUGGUCUACGAGUUCCUGGAGAAUUCUAGCCUCAGCAGCUAUAUCUUCAGUUACUCUCACUCUCUCUCUCUCUAUUCUAGAAUUUACUUGUUAUUUUGUAAACUUUAAACUUGAUUCGUUUUGUUUUUGAUUGAUUACCUCAGAUCAAACUAGAAGCCCGCUCCUAAACUGGGAGCAUAGGUUCGAUAUAAUGAAAGGUAUUGCUGAAGGAUUGUGCUACCUCCACAACUUCACAAGCCCACCGAUACUUCACCGCGACCUGAAACCAAGUAAUGUGCUUCUAGGCAGAGACAUGAUCCCAAAAAUCUCAGAUUUUGGGCUGGCUCAGAUGAUGGAAACUGGCACCACAGAAGCUGCAAUGGAAACAGCAGUAGGAACUUAGUAAGCAUCAACAAAUUGUUAAAACUUUCUUCUUCUUCUUUUUUUUUUUUUCACUAAAACAAAAUCACAAUCAAUUAAUUAAAUCCUCUUUUGUUUGUUUUUUGUGCAGCGGCUACAUGUCUGAAGAAUAUGCGAAAGAUAAUAUCAUGUCCCAGAAAUCAGAUGUCUUCAGUUAUGGAGUAGUGUUGUUAGAGAUUCUUACUGGAAGGAGAAAUCAUGAGUAUUGUAUUGCAAAUCCAGGAGAUAGUCUUCUCGACUUCGUAAGUUUAAUUUUUCUUUGUAUUCUUAAAAUUUUAAAGAAAAUUUAUAUUUUAGAGUUUUUUAAAAAGGUUUGGAGGCGAUGGAAGGAUGGUACUGGAUUGGAGGUCGUGGAUUCGAGCUUCCAUGAUGAUUCAUUUAUAGAAGACCAGGUUUUACGAUCAAUGAAGAUUGGUCUAUCCUGUGUUCAACAAAAUAUGCACGAUAGGCCUAGUACAAGGACCAUUGUGGUUAUGUUUGAAAAUGGCCCACGAUCAGAAAUUCUAGAUCCGACGAGACCAAACUAUAAUCUCACAAGAGCUGAUUCAUCUUCUUCUCCAGUUACCGUUACCGACCAAUCAGUCACUAUUAACGAGGCCACUUUGUCAUGCACUGACGCCAGGUGAUGUUUUUAUGUAGUGCGUUUUUCUACUAGUUUACUUAAAAAAAAAAAAAUUUGAACUAUCAUUCCUAUGUUAUGUUUAAUUUCAUGUGUUUUUUCUUCUAGUUUACUCUUUGAAAAAAUAACUACUAUUAUUCAUAUGUAAUGUUUUUAGUUGUUUGGGUCUCAGUGCGGGAGACUGAUACUUUAAUGGUUUAUCUCUUUUGCUAUGCACUUAAUGACAACGAACAUAAUAUCUCGAUAUAAUAAUUAACAACUAGGAUGAGACAAAACCAAAACCAAAACCAAAGGCAACAAGUUACAAGACAAACUGUUCAAAGUCAAUCUAAUCACAAAGAUAAACCCAGUUACAUAAUAUCCCACCUAUUUUUGUUUUUUAGCUGGUGUUUGAUCGAUGUUCUUCACCUGCAAGCAAAAAUGUGGCUUUAGCUGCUUCCUCUUUUGGUGUCUGAAAUGCUUUAAGAACAGAGAGAGAGAGAGGGAGAGCAAAAUUGUUUUACUGGGCCGCAUUCUAAAUAGUACGGCUUUGGUAAUUAUGUAAACAUAUCUUAUACCGAGACAAAUAAGAAUUAAAUUAAGUUAUCCUAUCAAUUAAUUUCAAAACCUCCACUUAGUCUAAUGAUUAACGGAAUCAUUUGGUUAGAAUAAUUAUUUAGCCAUAAACACCAAAAUCACAUGGAACAUAAGCUCAAUUACCUGUUUGGUGCCUUCAACAGAAGAAGUACGACCCCAUCUCUCAGGGGUCCCAAAGUAUGCUACUGUUGAAAGCAAAGCUUGAUAUAUGAACCGGAGGCUUUAUCUCUGUCUUGUUAUUAAUUUUUCUCAAAUGCCACCCCAAAACUUGUGAAGAUUCACAAACCGGCCUCUCUACUAUCACUCGCUUCCUAUUAGCUGAUACCAAUAUGUAUACAUUGUUUAGCCCCGCAAAAUGGACUAUCCCGCUUUGUUUGUGAUGCUCAAUGUGUCUCAACGCUAGGUUCCUUUGAUGAUCAAGCUCAAAUUCAAAGCUCGUGAAGUUUUCUUUGAAGACUAUACGUCUAUACAUUAAACCAGUUUUUCUUAACAUUGUUGGUGAAGAGUUUUCUUCAGCAUCGGAGUGUUUCUCCACGACUAUCCACAAUAAAGGAGGUGGAACUAGCCUCAAAGUAUUGGCCAUUCUCCUAAGGAGCACAAUUUUGUAACGAUCUUUCGUCAUUACCCAGAGUUACAACAAUCACUAGACCUCUUGGUGCAACUUCUUCUUCUUCUGUCUUGGAGAGUGAUCUGGUUUCUUGUUCAGGUUCUUGUGACUUCAAAGGUGCUGGGGCCUGACCUUGGGAACUGUUCAAUGCUUUAUCAACGAGAGGAUUGUGUGUAUAGGUAGAGUUCUCAAAAGGUUGGGAAGGAAUCUGAGAUUUAGUGGUAGUAGAGGGGGUGGUUUCGAAAUUAUAGAAAAGUGAAGCCUUACCAGCAGGAGCAAAGCCAGUGAUGAAACACAUUACAAAACAUAGAGAGAAAUGGAUCACAGCUUUCUUCCAUACCUGAGUUUUCUUCUUUGAUCUCUCCAGAGAUCCCAUCAGGAUCCAACCCUAAGAAGAAGUUUUUCUUAAUUAAGUGAUUUUCCUUUUAUUUUUUGGGAAGAACAAUCUAGUUUGAAGAGUAUGAAAUAUAAGGGCUUUUAUGACAUUUGUAUAGUUUUUGUCUUUAUAUUGUUGGUAAAUGAUUAAAACCGGCGAGCUACGUAGGAGUACGUUCUCUUUGAUUGAUUGCGUGUGUUGGUUGUGUUCUGCAACAACUUGUUGGGAUCAUUGGAACUCACUAGCUAGCUGAAACAUGUUUGGGAAAUAUAAGAAAAUUACUGUUAAUAUAGCAAAUAUAUUAAAAUUAAACUUUGCUUAUUAAUGACUCUUAAUGCAAGUAAUUAAGUAUUAUUUUAGUUGUUGUUGAUGACUGAUGAGUAAGGUUAUGAUCAAGAUAGGAACUUUUGAGAGUACCUAAUAUAGAGGAUAGUAGUCUUCAAAAAGUGUGAAGUGAUGAAACUUGAAGUUGAAAGAGACAAUCCAAAAAAUAAAUAUUAACAUGUCAUCGUGGUUUAUAUUAUGCACUUUAACAAAUGGAUAUCAUUUUUACCGUUAUAUCAAGCCAUGUAAAUACAUACCACCACAAACAAGUCGUUUUCUCAAGAAAGUUAGAAAAGAGAUCAAGCUGGACGAGGAGUGAGCCUAUCUUUGGCCGCCGUGUCUCCACGGUGGAGGCCAGAGGAGAUACGCAAGCAAGAAGAAGCCCCCCGAGAAACGCUCUGUUACUAACUCGGUGUUCUUGGAGCAAGAACAAGAAGAGACAAAGGAACCUCAUGAUGAUGACGUCAUUGUCGGAGAACCCAAGGUUGUGCAUUUAAUAUUCAGUUCAUUUAAUACAUCAGUCAAGUCACAUUUCCAAGAAAAUACUCCACUAACGAAGGCGUCUUUGUCUAUUUUUAAUUCGUUCCUUAACGCGUACGGAACGCGGCCCAAUAAAAUAAUUACUUUAAUUCUAUUUUAAGUCUCUGCUUCUCUACCUUCUUUCCUCUUUGUAAGAUCAGAGAGAGAGCGUUUGUUGAGAAGAUCUUAUUAGAAGGUGAAUAUCAAUCAGAACAUGGCGAAAGAAGACAACCACGAAGCUCAACGAUGCGAGUGCGAGGAUCAUGAGGAAUCGAGUCCUCUCUUGCAAGUUAACGAAAGCAAGAUCUGCUCAAAAGGGGACACCACCAAGACGGCGGAGGAAUAUGGCUGGACGGCGGAUGGAUUGCCGGUGAGCCAAGGGAGCGUGAUCGGCGAGCCGAUCGGGAGAAACCAAUGGAGUUCCGGUCUUUUUUCCUGUCUCGGCCGAAACGACGAGUUCUGCAGCAGCGAUCUCGAAGUUUGUGAGUCUUUAUGUUCUGUCUCAAUGAUUAGUGUCUGAAAUUUGGGAUUUUUUUGUUAAUGGGUUUCUUGAUUUGGUGGAGGAUGAAUUGUAAAGUUUUGAUUUUGAUGUGUUUUUCACUGUUGGUGAGUCUUGCUUGUGUUCUGUCUGACUGUCUCAAUGGUUAUUGUCGGAAAUUUUGGUUUUUUUUUUAUUUGGUAGAGAUUGAAUUGGAAAGUUUUGAUUUUGAUGUGUUUCACGGUUGGUGAGUCUUGUGUUCUGUCUCAAAUGAUUAUUGUCGGAAAUUUGAGGUAUUCCCUAAUGGGUUUCUUGAUUUGGUGGAGAUUGUAUUAGAAAGUUUUGAUUUUGAUGUGGUUCAUGGUUGGUGAAAAGACUCAAAUCUUUUACAUCUUAAUGGCUUCUUCUUUGUUAGGUCUCCUUGGAAGUGUGGCUCCAUGUGUGCUGUAUGGAAGCAAUGCAGAGAGGCUUGGGUCUGCUCCUGGAACGUUUUCGAAUCACUGCUUGACGUAUUUGGGGUUGUACUUUGUCGGCAACUCUCUAUUUGGAUGGAACUGCCUUGCUCCAUGGUUCUCUUAUUCUAGCCGCUCUGCCAUUCGCCGAAGGUUUAACCUUGAGGUAAUGAUCAAAUUAUCUGGUAUUUAAUCCGGAAAAAAACUGAAAAAUCUGUUUUUAUAUCUGAAUUAUCUGAAAUUAUCUGAGAAAAAGGAACCGAACCGAAAUUUUGUAUUAGUCAGUUUUUAACAUUGUUGCCCGAACCAAAAACGGAAAUAACCAAAACCGAACCAAAUUUCAAAUAAUCAAACGGUUCCUAUAUCUCUAGAACCGAAAAUCGAAAAAAAAAAAGAACUGGAAGUGAACGCCAAGCCUAGUUGUACUCUAAGAAAAGAGUCAAUCAACUCCUCUCUUUAUAUAUCUUCUUGGUUGUGUACCACUCUCUGAGUUUUAUAGGAGCCAUGGAGAGACAAGUCUUGUCUCAUAGGCACUCUAGUGUCUCUAGUUUUGGGCAUGUGUAUUACGAGAGUCUCCGUUGCAUUCCAUCUCGUGACCCUAUCUUUUGUUUUCUUUUGGUGUAAAAAACAGGGAAGCUUUGAGGCGAUGAACAGGUCGUGUGGUUGCUGCGGUAGCUGCAUAGAGGAUGAGAUGCAAAGGGAACAUAUGGAGACGACUUGUGACUUUGUGACGCAUGUCCUUUGCCAUACAUGUGCACUUUGCCAAGAAGGCCGUGAGAUCCGCAGGAAGGUUCUUCACCCGGGUUUCAAUGCUCAGUCCACUGUGGUUGUGCUUCCACCAAGUGAACAAACCAUGGGACGUAAGUAAGUGAAAAGCUUGCGUUGAGUCAUGUGUCCUAAAUAACAUUUGUAAUACACAAGGUGAACUAUGACGUUGUCUCUUGCUUGCUUUUGUCGCGUGUUCUUUUCUUUUUUUUGGUCUUUCUUCAGUGCAUGCAAAUGUAUGUAUAUCUUUAUUGUUACGUACUUGGUUUUGGAUAUGGUCUUGUAAUAUUCAAUAAAGUUUCGCAACUUGUAACUCUAUAAACGUGGAGGCAUUCCUUUCCGGCGGAACCUUCAUUGCUCAUAGCUCCAAACCAAAGUCUGUGAGAUCAGAUGUGGUAAAGAACGGUUCGGAGAUUCUAAUGAAAUGAAAGAUCUGUUUUUGGACCGGAGAGAUCAAGACAAAAGUGAUUGAUUGCAUUUAAUUUAUAAGACUUUUUAUAUCGCAACUUUGCGAGUCUUUAAUUGUUGCACUAGAGAUCCAUUGUAAUCAUUGUGGUUAAUUUGACUCCUUGAGUUUAUUAGUGUGCAUGUGAUAUGAUUUCUUUAGAUUUGGUUUUAAUAUACAUUUUGUGAUAAAAGGGUCAAGAUCUAUAGCUUAAUACUAUAAUUAAUGUUAAUUAGUACAUUUGACAUUUUCUUAUAGAAAUGAUUAAAUAGGUCUAUUGAUUAGACGCCAAACAAGACUGGCCAAAUUAAUCGCUGAUAAUUCAAAAGAAACCAGACGAAUUAUCAAAAGAUCUUCUAAUAAUGAAAUGAUUUGUACAAAGAGUCAAAAGGAGACACAUGGAGAAGUGCCCAACUCGUCUGGCAUGGCACCUCACUACUAAGCAAUCACGAUUUGGCUUGUGGAGUCAACGAGCUUAUGACAUUAGCUAGUUAAUUUCCCCCAAGUUGACAUCUACUUUUUAAACACAAUUUAUUUAUUACUUAUUAUACAAUUGUAGAUCUCAUCAUAUAUUUUUGAUAUGCGAUUUCUAGUAGUUUAUUGUAGACGACUGUUCUUUGUUUUCUCUUACUCUCUAAUCUGAAUCUCAUUGCAUGGUCGGCAACAUUUUUUACUUGGAACAUUUUACCAUCAAUAAUCGAAUUUUGAUAUCAUGUUAAUAAGUUCUAAAAACUUUAAUGUAUAACUUAACUUAUGUCCCUUAUACAUUACCUGUUAUUCCAUCACAUUUUGAUUUUGAAUUUGUAAGAAGUUUAUAUUUGUGUAUCAUAUAAGUUUAUGGUCUUGAAUCUAAUAGUUUUUGGUACUGUUAGUUCUAAAAUCAUUGACGAAUAUACCAAAAAAUGUGACAAGAGAUAUAUAAAAGUCCCAUCAAAUAAAUUUGGAUUGGUAGUUGUUUCGAAGUCACUCCCUAAUGUACCAAGAACAUAUCUUAAUCCAUCCCAGUUUUUGUAUCUCUUCUUAUUGACUCCAAACCAUUAACACACACACACACAUACAUACAUAUGAUAUAUGAUAUAUAUGGUUAUUAUCUUUCAUAGCAAACAUAAUCAGUUAGUUCACAUAACGACAAUCCUUCCUAAUCUCUCCUUGGUCACCGGUGAGAGGAUUGGUCUCGGACAAGAGCCUGAUAGCGCGUGAAAAUUGCUCAUGGAAGUAACCAUUGUCCGCAGCCAUCUUCGCCACAAAGGGUGCGGUCCUCGGAUCCGUGGCUAUCUCAUCAUCGAUGACAAGGAGUCCUUUAUGAGCCAUGAUGUUUUUGUAAUACAUAUUGUCCACAACCAUCGGUGUCUCAGGGUCGUUGCGGGAGUAUAAGACCUCUUUUGGGUUCGGAUUUGGAGUAGGGCAACGUUUUUUCAAGUAAAGGGCGUACGUAGGGUCGAGAGUCGGGUCAAUCGUUGGGUAUAGCCGGUGCACUAGGUUAACGCAGUGGACUCUACCCACUGAGUGUGCACCUACGGUAAUAAAAAUUGACCGAUCAAUAACAAUGACAGUUAUAUAUCUUUAUUAUCUUAACUAGUAAAUAAACUUUCCAAAAAAAAAUAUCAUAUGUAUUAUUUAAGUAUAUGGUUGAUAAAACUAUUUUAUUUUGAUUUUAUCAGAAAAUGAACCAAAAAUACCCAAAUUAUCUUCUAUUGAACCACCGGACCGUAUAAAAUUUGGUUUAAUUAACGGUGUAAAACGCACAUCUAUCCUAAAAUCUUGAACAAAUUCAAAAACCAAAAUGUCCAUCCUGGUUAGUGUUACCGUGCUGGCUCAAAUCUAUUGACCUAUGCAUUUAAAAGAUAGUUUCUACUCAGAUUUAUAACUCAGGUACCUAAGAGAGCAACGGUGGCUUCAACAUCGAUGCCGAUGGAGUUAAAGUUUGAGAGAACAGACGAGAGAGAGUCAUUGUGGUUAGGAACUAGAGCCUCAACAUCUCUCAAGUAGCUCCCUCUACUGUCUCUCCUUCCUGUCUUUAUCAUAUCUAUCUUUGGCCCUUUCAACUAUUCAUUUCACCAACCAAAAAAAAAACAUCUUAAUAAAAAUAUAAUUCCAAACUAAUUAAAUUAACCUUACAAUGCAUAUACUUACCAUGACAAUACCAUCUCUAGCAGAGAGAGCAACAAUAUCAGCGCAAGAGACUGUUCCAGGACAUUCUUUCUCGAGUGCAUCUUUGAUAGUCUUGAUAUACUUAAAGUUUCUCAUACCAAAACUCCUUGUUGACUUUUGCUCUGAUUCCACACCUCUUGCUGUCUCUAGUAGCAGUGACGCAUCACACGACUACAAAAAAAAAUACCCAUGAACAUAAAUAUUCACGAUGACUUUUUGGUAAUCAUGUUUUUAAAAAUAUUCACGAUGAUGAUGAUGCCAUGUGAUUAUAGAGUAAAUGUAAUUACCUUGACGACGCAGUCAUGGAAGAGAUUACGGAGCCAAGAUACGGCUGUGUUGCCGUGUUUGUAGUACAGCGUCUCCACUUGUUGUCUGAUUAUCUCUUCCGCUCUCGGACAACUCUCUCUGUAAUAAUUCAUCUUCAGUUCCGCAUUUCCUACAGUUUAGUUAAUCUUUAGAUUCGAUUUAAAAAAAAGUUAAUCUUUAGAUUAUUCGCUUUAUUUACGUAUGAGUGAUUACUAGCCAUUUUAUAAUAUAAUAUUUGUUGAAUUUUUACGGUGGAAAUUAGUUUACUAAAAAAAACCGUAGUUAUUUUGGUUUCAGCUAGCAAAAAUUAGAAAUAUAUUCUCGAGACAUGGAUACACGUGGCAUAAUGUGAUAAGAGAAAAGGGAAUAUAAAUUACCGAUAUGAAAGAUGGAAAAUAACUGUAAUAACAGGCAAAAGAAAGCCAAAAAGCAGAAGGGCAUCUUCACAAUGGCCAUCUUUUUCUCUCCUAUCUUUUUGUACUUUGUUGAUUGGUGUGUCUCUUUAUGUGUCCAAUGUAGGGUUAUAUAGAGAUUCAAGAGACUUGAGAAACUCUCUUUAAUCGUGUAAUAUAUAAUUAAGUAUUUUUAUUUCUUAUAGUCAUAGUGGUUGCCCAUGUUAAUUAUUCUUUUUUGAAAUUAUCAGGGGAUUUCUUAUUCUAGACGAAUAUUAAUAUUGAAGCUUGUAACCACUAGCUAUAUAUCUGAACUCAAUAGUUGUUGAACAUGUGAAUUCAGUGAGACGAGUUUUCCUAUUCUAUCCGAUGAUAAUACAAAAUUAAAUUAGUUCGGCUUUUCACUUCUUUUCACUUUUAAUUAGCCUUCCUCAUACAUGUUUCAUGUUCACAAGAUACAAAAGGAGGAGAUCUGUAAUAUAAAUUACGCUCUAACUUGUAACUAAUUGAUUGGAUUGGAUUCGAAUAAAUAAAAUCAAAAUGUAAAUGCUUGCGAUGAAUAUGUAUAUUACACAUCAACUUCAAGAUGACCGACUCAAUUAACUCCCAAUCAUGCUAAUCUAUAGGUAUUCAAUAUAUAGCAUACAAUAUUAAAUACGGUUUCACUUAUAUGAGUUCAUUCACUAAUAUAUGAGUAAAUUAUUAUUACCCGACUGCUGCAUAAAUUUUAUACCACCGAUUUAGUUUAUAGAUUCUAACAGACUUACUGACAUGUUAUAUUAUUCCAUUUGAAAUAUCGUUACCAGUCUGGAUUCUUUGGCUGACUUAAAAAAAAUAUUUUGCUUCAAUUGUGUAACAAAUGUAGAAGGAUAUUAUAGACUAGUCAUAAAUAUGUAUAUAUGCAUGGCCCAUUGUUAUACAUUUUGGGAAAAUUAUUGAAUAUAUAUUAUAUAAAAUCAUCUGAUGGUAGCCACAAUUUUUUUGUUUAAAUUAUCUGUAACAUGAUUACCGUCUAUAGCGGGUUUGCGUCAUUUCGGACAUGCGCUUGAUGCAAAAUCAAUACGACUGUGGAUGUUAAAAUGGAUAUAUUGACUUCACUAAAUGUUAAUAUCAUCAUCAGCCACUUUAUCCUUCGGCCACUUAGUCACUUGUGAUAUUUUUAACACAACACAUUGGGUGAAUUCGUAUUAUACGCAUUUAAUGUGGCACCAAGAGUUAAUUCAGACCCAUUCAUAGCUAAGCAGUUUAUAAUAGGUUGCCGCUAUUUCAACGUAUCAUUCAUCAAAAUUUGAUGUAUCUAUUUUAGUAGAAAACGAAAGAUGUUUCAUUUUAUUUGGUGUAAUAAAUCUUUAAUGCUCUUGAAUACUGCUUAAUACCGUCAGAACUCAGAACAUUAACUUUAGUUUUAAAUUAUAAUGCAAUUACUAAAACACUGCAAAUUUAUUUCAUUAUACAAUAUACAAAAAAUGAUCAUGUAUACUCUCUCUCUUUUCACAAUGAUAAAUUCCCAUUUUUGUUUUUAAAGAAUUUUAAGGUUUUAAUACAUAUUCCCUCAGUUUCGUAAAGAAUACCACUUUGACAUUUUCACACAAAUUAAAAAAAUGAUUAAAAUACAUUAAAGUUCUUAUUAGUUACACUUAAUAUGAAACAGAAAGAGUAUUUAUUAGUACUUGUUACAAAUUGCAUAUAUCAAAAUAUUUAUUAAUAAUAAAUACAUUUUUAUUUUUAUUAGUUUAAAUUUAUGUAAAAUUGUAAAAAAUUUAUAAUUGAUCACUAAACAUUAAUUAAUAUGUGUAAGAAAUGAAAAUUUAAAAAAAAUGUGAAACAGAAAGACUAUCACAUAAUUUAAUAAAUGUAAAAACUACAAGAAUUUAAGUUAAUAAUAUAUUUACGUCAAUAAUACUUAUGUUUCGGGUUGAUAUCUUAAUUCGUUUUGUAAUAAUAGCACUUUUAAAUCAAUUUGGUUAUAGAUUUUAAAAUAAAUUAUACUCAUACUUGGAAGCAAAUUAAAAAAAGGUUAUAAGAUUGCUUGGUGUAUGAAUAAUUGAAAACCAUUUUUUGUUUUUGACAACAAUUGAAAGCCAUUAAGUUUGACCUUUUUAGGCACUUGCUUAAUCGCACGCGCAUUUGAAAACCACCAAAUAAAAUCAACCCCACUUUCUUAAUAUUAUUGUGACUGAUGACGGCUGUAACAUUCUGGUCUUGACCGUCCAGUCCAUUCACUUGAACACGCACAUAAUGCUUUGUUGCCGAUUCACUUAUUUUCAUUAAAACUCAUCAUAUAAAUGAUUUCCCCUCCUUUUUCCUUUACAUCUAAAAGUCUAUGUAGUUUUUCUAGAUGCUUAUGAGUUACGCAAAACGAUCCUCUCCCACACAAAAAAACAAUAAUAUUAAUAUAUGUUUUAAUGUCCAAGUGUUUGAUUAGUGCUGCAGUUUGUAAAUAUGUAAUAAAACUAAUCAGCUUAAUUUUCUGUUUAAACAAGAAGUUUUGUAUAGAAAGACGACUUGGAUUAUAUUUUUGUAAGAAUUCUGAAUUCCUGUCGUUUCAUUCCAUAACAAUAUGUGUUAAUAUGUUCGUGUAUUAUUGACUUGUUGCUUUAUAGUUAUUUAUUUAUUCCCAAGUCAGAUUAUAUUCGUUCGGAAAAUGAACGUGACUCGUAUAUGAGUUGACCUUAUGAAUAUUGUCUAAGGCCUUAUCCAUUAGAUUAAAAGUUCAUUAUACACUUAUUAUUUGUAUUUAGUUUGAUUAUCUCCAAGGCUACAUUAUGAGCUGUUAGCUAGUAUCCUAAGUUAUGAAUAGCUCCAGAAAGGCCUUAUCCUAAGCUAUAUGAACAUUGUGAGCUAAGCUGAACACUUGCUUAGAUGUAACUUGAUCUUGUAUGUUUUCUCUAAAAGACCAAUAGCCAUCUUGUAUGCUUAGUUGAAUUUGUAUUAGGAUCUCUUAGUUGUAAGAGAUCAUAUGUUCAUCAAAUGGUUCUAUCACUACCAUAAGUUCUCUGUAAGGCCUUGUUGUUCUUCUCGCUCUGCUUUCUGCAGCCUGGUUAGUUUCCACAGGAGGCUUAUGUUCUUUGAUAGCAAAGUGAAAACCGUCCAUCUCUUCAUAGUCAUUUGGUAUAUUUGAACUUGUGAGCCAGUAGGCACAUGAGCUUCUCAGCAAGAAGAAGCAUUCUCUUUUCUUUUUUUUUCUCUACUCACCAAUAACAGAUAUUAACUUCCUUCUAUUUACAACUUAAAAUGUUAUAGUCUAUCACAUAUUUUCCCUUUAAACAAAAGAGAGAGGAAUUAUAUAUGUAUAGUUUAUCUAUCAUAUGGGUUCUUAAAAGCAUCAGGUAAAAGCAGGUGAUUUGCAGAUAGGGCAAGAGUUCUUCAAAGACAGCCAUUUCUUUAUGCACCCUCCAUGGUAGUCAUGACCACACCCUUUAAGUUCCCCCAACUCUUCUCCUUCCUUGUAUUCCUCCUAAAUGUUACCGUUACCACACCACCAUUAGACUCUUGGCACAUUUAAAUCUUUGAGACAUGCGAAUCUUACCAGGCAGAUUGCACAUUUUCUUUCCUCAUCCGUUUGAUACAAUGGGUAGAAUAUCGUCUCCAACAAGCAAGUGGAGAUUGCGCCCUUGGAUAGACCAGUGUUAACACUCCCAAUCCUUUCAACAAGAUCAAGAAGGUCCUGGAUAGUGUCAACCAUUUCAAGAUACAUCAGUUGCGAGACAUUUUGUCUGGGGCUUAGAAAAACCAAGAGUUCUGUAAUUAACCUCGUAGGUCAUGUCAUCGAUGUCGAGCCUCAAUUCUCUGUGGUGAUCAUGCAUAUUCCUGGAUCCAUAGUGCUGUUGGUGAUCUACAGCCAUAAAUCCCUGUUUUUGUACAUCCACAACAAAAUAAUAGAAGAAAGUUCAGUCUGCAGCAGAAUAAGAAACAUGAGAGUCUAUGUAGGCAAGUUUCUGAAGUGUUGGUCCCAUCAGUUUAUUGGCAAGUUUGGUAGGGAAAAAAAUUACUACACCUGAGAUGAAAAUGGUUCAUGGAGAGCAACUUCAUCGAAAGGAGGCUGAAACCUCUCAUAGGAACUCCUGCGUCUCCCUGGGCGAUCACUGCUACGCCAUGAGAUGUGUGGUGGUGGCCUCAGAUGCCUAGAAGGAUAUGUCUCAGUGACAAAAGGAGACCUAUCUCCAGAAGAAGAUGCUGAAUGUUCCAAUCGCAAACCGUUUGAAGAAGAUCUAUAGGUGGGUGUUGACCUAUGAGAGAAGCGGGAGCUAGUUGCAGAUUGUGUUGAAGUUCCAGGAAAACCGUGGGAAACUGUAGAGUUUCUGUUUCCGAUUAGCCCUUGGUGAUACCAAGAGGUAUCAACAGAUGUGCUGUUGGCGACACUUCUCGUGGGAAGAAAAUUAUUUGUCUUUGGACUAAAGCCAUUUAAAUCUGCAGGGUGAGAAUUCAUGUGGUUAAAGAACGUAGUCAGUAAAAAUUUGAAUCUCAAGAGAGACCAAAGUGAAAUUUGCAUACCUCUAGGUACUGGGGAGUGUCUAGGAAAGUUCCAGUUCCAGUCCUUAUUCCUGUGAGAUGUUUGACCAGGAAACUGACCUGAGCUAGAGUGAUCAACAUUGUGAUGUGUAGGAUGAGAAUCAAGGUCCAAGCUUCUUGAAAAAAUAUUUCUAUCUACACUAGUCUCUAAAUCAAGUGUAGGACGACUCCGGACAUUCCUUGAAGAACUCUCUCCCCUGAUCGAGAGAUUAUUACUUCUGUAACUUGGGUUCAUGAGCCACGGCAUGUAAUGAGGACCAUGAUCACGAGUUGUUGAUUUUCCCAUGUCCAACUCCGAGGAGAAAGGGAUAUCUGAGGAAGUUCUGCCACCGUGGUAAUGGCUUGAACUACCCAUUUCAUAGACGGAAGAAUCGCAUGGGGUUUUCCGCUUCUGUGCUCCUCUCACAUUUUCCAUAUGUAGAUCAACAUAGCCAUCCAAUGACCAUGUCUGACUGUUGCAGUACGAAGAAGAUGCAGAUGUCACAUAAUGUUCAAGUGGAGCAGAGAAAGUUGCAGCUGCUGAACUCAUGACAGGAACAUGGGUGGGGCCGCUAGUCCCUGGAUUGUAGUGUAGCCUCUCUACACCAUGACCUGAAGCAGUAUACGCAUUUGGUCCUGUAGAAGAGUUCCAGUGCGAAGAAAAUGGCAUUCCUUCAUUCAACACGUUUCCUGCUGGAUUAACAUGCGAUCUGCUCUCACUGGUCCCAGUUCUUGCUGAGAUAACAUAGAGCGAACAAUAAUACGAAUCAGAAAUUCCGGACACGAUUGCACAGGAAAAAGUAGAAUUAUGUAUGUGAUGAUUAUAAAAUGUGGCUUCCUAAUUUUCACUACCUGAGGGUAUCACCUAUCAAGAUUCAUUUUUGCCCCUACUGAAACCCAAUCUACCCAUGAGGGAGAAACUUCUCAACCUAAAAAUACGCAUGCAACAUCAACGCAAUAGCUCUUACACAGGUUGAGUAUAACAUCUAUCCAUGAAGAACGUGUUAAAAAUAUUGAUUUCAACCACAGAAUAAGGAUCUCUAUAGGAAUGGAGAACUAAUUACCUAAACUCGUAUAUGGGUGCUCUGGGUGUAUAUGGUUCCAGCCUUGAUCCUGUUCAUCAUCGAAAAAUUGGAAAGAGCCAGGAAAAUGUCUGUGCCCCAUGAUUACACAAAUCUUCAACCUUGGAGUCCAGCUAACCCUGCACAGAAAGUUCUCUCAACAUUCAGAACUCAUCCAGAAAAAAAUUUGCAAGUCCAUAAAAAUAGUUCUUAAUUACUAAGCAAUCUCAGUUUCAAUUCAAGAAUGGUAUAUAAAGUAACAUCUGCUUUAGCUCAGAAGUACCAAAUGGUUGCUGAAAACGAGUCACCCAUCUAUUUUCAGUUUUAUAGUCACAUUUCAAGACCAAAACUCCAAUUUUUGCAACUGAAGAACCUUAACCAUCGCCAAGUUAAGAAACAAAGUUUCUUCAACCCCACACAUGAGCAUACUCAAGCUGUAAGAAACGAUUUAGAAUAUGCAUAGAGAACACUACACAGUAUUAGGACGGACAUCAACUUCAGGUAUAAAGGAAACUGACAAUGGUAUAUUGAUAGAGAUUCUUUAUCAGAAGAGAGUCCAUAGUUUCAAUACCUAGUAUCAAUAUAGUUGAAAUAUCUAGUCUCAGUUACCUUUGUCACCCGUAUCUAACAUACUAUACCCUCAGAGCUCAGCUCAUGAUAUCAUAAAAACAAGUUUUCGAAGAGUUGGACUGGAAAGUUCCUGAUGCCUUAAGAUGGGAAUAACCUUAACUAGUACAUAUCUAUCAGCUCAUAAGGGUAUCUUGCAAUCAAGAGUUAAUAAAUAAAACAGAAACCUACAUUUUCUCUUUGUGUAAGCCAAAAGAAAAUAAGAGACACAAAACAAGCAAGAGUGUUCUCUAGUACAUUGGCAUAAGAAGUUCAUUUAAACAAGACAUUUACUCAGGUUUAAGAACUUCAUAAAUUUUACAGAAACAGUCCACCGAGAAUAAGGCAAGAAAGAACAGAUACAGAACAGAUAACAUUUGAUAUGACCAUUUCAGCUUCUAUCAACACAUACAGAACAGAUGCAUACUGCUGGCAUGAUCAAGAAAAUUACAUGGAUGAUUCAACAGCAGGAAAUAAGUUUAAUUUUCUGAGCCAAAACCCUCCAACAAUACUACUGCAGGCAAAUUAAACUCCCAACCAAGAAUACACUAAACUACACAAGUGAAAAAGCCAUCAUCCUUUCCUGAUCAACUGAUUCACCAUUUCCACACACCAAAUGUAAUUUCUUCUCUUCAAGUUCAGAAUCAUAACGGGCUUAGUCCACAGAGUGCUGGCCAGCAAAGGCUUACCACCACAUUCUACUAUUCUGAAGCUUUUACUUAGUCAAAACCUGCCAUCCGGCCCAGCACACCUAGAUCUACUCCAAGAGCUAGUAAGCAGAAAUGGGUUGUGUGAAAGGAUGCUUCUAAGCAAUUUGCUUUAUGCUUCAUAGGAUGGUUGUCAUUUCGCAAGAAAUAUUGAAGUUUUUACCUUAAUUCACACUUCAAGCAUCACUGACUAAUUAACACAUUCAGUUAUGAACGUGGAAUCAAAAGAAGGGUGGUGGAAGAACUGGACCAGACAAACUUCACAAAGCCUUGACUACCAUAAACAUAGUUAUCAGCCAUAAAACGUAAAUGAGUAAAAAACUAACCACGCUAAUAGAGUUUGGUUGACUUAUCUUACUUCAAGUUCACGUUGGUUUCUCAAUCAACCAACAAUCUGCCAAAAUAGAAGGAAAACGGCAGCCACCGAUUCUAUGUAUUACAAAGGCUUAGCAUAAGGCACUAACAUCUGCUGACAAAAGUGUUAGAAUAAUACAUUUUCUCUGCUACAAUUUCAAAUUUUCUAUUAUAUUUUUGAGAAAAAAACCAAAAUAGCACUAAAUCAAGUUUUUGUUCCCAAACUAGCACUCAAGGCCAAAAGUCACAAAAAUAGCACUCAAGAGAUGGGGUUUAGGGUUUAGGGUUUAAAGUUUAAGUUUUAGGGUUUAGAGUUGAGAAGUGAGAUUUUGGAGAUAAGAUUUCAAAUUUUGAAAAAUAAAAAAGUUUAAAUUUUUCAAAAGAUAAAAUGCUAUUUUGGUCAUUUAGUUUUUGAGUGCUAUUUUUGUGAUAUAAACUUAGAAAAGUACUAUUUUGGAGAUUUGCCUUAUAUUUUUUCGAUUUUUUUUUUUUUGAUUAUACAAAGUUUCCCUAAAGGCUUCCUAAGGGACUAAUCUGUGUAGCUGCAACCCGAAUGUGAAAUCCGCAGUGGCCGGGAAUCGAACCCAGGUGGCGGUACUCACAGCUGUGAGCCUCUGUGAGCUAAACGCCCCGGUUUAUUUUUUCGAUAUUACUAAAGAGGAAGACGUAUUUGCUGACCUUAAACUAUAUGGACGUUACUAGUUCAAGACUGAGAGAAACCAUCGUUGCCACUAAACCUGCUGGAUACAAAGCCUAGCUAGUUUGAUGCUAAAUAGGAAACUGCUCAAACUAGCUCUAUAUAGCUUAGCCCCGUCGCUGAAGUAGCCUGAACUAAUCACCGAUCUGGUCUCCUCUUCUUCUCAGCAUCCGAAUCUCUAACUACGAUUCAAACAAUCCAAUCACGAAAAGUCACUCAUGUAGCAGACGGAAGCAAACAAUCAUCACGCAAAAGGAAAACAGAUGAUCCGUCGUAACAGCGUUUAAACAAAUCAUUGGUGAAACUGCAAUCGAUUUGAGCAUAUAUAUACAUAUUUACACGAAAACCUCAGAGCUCAAACGAUGAUCGGAGAAGAGAGAAACGUACCGCUAGCAGCGUGCGGAUGAUGGAGAAAGGAGAACGAUCGGAGGAUUCAAAGAGACGACGAACGGAUUCGUAGAGAUGACUCAGCUUGAGGAUUGUGAUCGGUUGAUAUAUUUAAGAGAGAAAGCAAAUGAAAAAAUGAUAAAACAAAACAAUUUAAUUUAAAAGCGAUUGGGUGGGUACGUUGCUGGAAAAUUUAGACCACCACAGCAUCACCGGCUGAUUAAUGGGCGUAGAUUAAUGGGCCUAUAUUUUGACUUUAUAUGGGCCUCCACUGGAUCAGCAACUAUCCCUUCUUCUUUUUUUGUCACCAGCAACUAUAGCAUUGUUCACAUAGUGCAUUAUGUUGCAUCUGACAGAUUAUGAGCAUAUAAUCCUUGAAUCUGCUUUGUAGAAAGCUCUUAGAAAUUUAAUUUUUCCAUUGUCUUUGCACGUGCUGUGAAAUUUUGUGUUAAUUACGCAUAAAGUUUGAUUCGUUAGAUUUAGUCCAAAGUAAACAAUAUGGAUACAUAGUCCACAAUCCCCCUAAAAUGGUUAUUUCUCAGAUUUUGACAGUCUUAAUUUGAAGACAAUUUGGAAGAUGAAGUUGCAGUGAAACACGCAAGCAUUGCAUUGCUUUUUUCUCUUUCUAAAACCAAUGGAAGUACAAGGAAGUGGAGGUGAAUCAAUAACAAUAAACCGUGUGCAUUGCCGAGAUUAUAUAGUUUGUGAUUAUACCAUUUUAAUACAGAGAAGCUGCAAAUACCAAAUUAAACCAACGCAGGUUUGAGGUUCCUACGUCAAGUUCAACCAUUUCAUUUCUAGUGUAAUUUCUCUAUUCAAAACAACUAUAGAAAGGUCCACUAGACAUGGCAGACGAAACAAUACCCCAAUAACAUUGUGGCAUUACGAAAGUAGCAAAGCAAAGCAUAAGAUAAAAUAAAAGCGGCAUUAUAACAAACCAAAACAGACUUGUUCUUGUUCUUAACCGAAACAUAAAAGCUAAAACCUCAAAAGUGAAAAUAACCGAACAAAACACUUAAUCUCAAAUUCCCUUUUUUUUUUAAAUUAAUUAAUUCUCAGGAAUCUCAACCUCACCCUCUUGAAUCUCCUGCUGGAUAUCCUUGGAAUCUCCUGCUGAAUAUCCUUGGGAUCUUUCCCAUCCACAGUACACCCAACAGACACACACGUCCCAAGAAUCUCCCUCACGGUCCCGCUCAGCUCCUUCGCAAUAGACCUCGGCCUCAUGAUCCUCGCGAUCUCAAUCACGUCAUCGAACGAAAUGUUCCCGUUGUGCUUAAUGUUCUUCACCUUCUUCCUGUCCCUCUCCGGCUCCUUCAAGGCCUUGAUCACCAGCGCCGCCGCCGAAGGCACCACCGUCACUUUCGCCUGGCGAUUCUGCACCGUCAGCUUCACCGUGACGCGGAGCCCCUUCCACUCCUUGGCCGUCUCCUUGGCGAUGUCUUCUCCGAUCUUUUUGGGAGCCAGACCGAGGGGACCGAUCUUGGGAGCGAGGGAACUCGCGGCUCCGACUUCUCCGCCGGUCACGCGGACGUAGACGUCCACGAUCUGGCUCGGGUCAAGCUUCGGCGGCAUGGCUGUCUCGGUGGUUAAACGGAGUUUGAUUAGUUUUUUUUUUAAGUGGAGUCCGGAGACGAGGAGGCGGUUGAAGACGAGCUCCAAAGGCUUUUAUUGAGGUCGACACUAGGGUUUACGAAAUGAUGAAUUUACUACCCUUGUAAACAUAUAUGGGCCUUAAGAGAAUGAUCUUAUGGGCUUUAUUUUAGACUAUCGGUUCUUUUACGGUUUAGUAAAUAAUAAAUCCCCGGUUUGAUAGAACCGGUUUACUUCCGUCGCCUCUUUGCUCGGUGAGAAUUGCCUAAAAUAUUUCCUCAGUUUCGGAAAGAAGUAUAUUUUAGUUACCAAUAUAAUUUUAAUAAAUAAAAUUAUGUUUUUUUACUGUUUACGAUUAAUUUAUGCAUUGAAACCGUAAAAAUGUAUUUUUCUUGAAACGGAAUUUUUUUCUAAAAUAUGGAAUUUUUUGAAACGCAUGGCUUUUAUUAUACUAAAAUAGUGAAAGUGACGUCACUUCGUUUAACCGAUAUGAUCAACAACAGAAGCAUAUAGUUUUGACAAUAUACUGGGAAACAUUUACUUUUUGGAACUUUCUGUUAUCUUAUGUGUGUUAUUUAAUUAGUGGGUGGCUAAGGACCAGAAGUUGAGAAAGAAGGAAGGGAACACAGCAAGCCAGCUGAUGAAUGCCAUUGCUGUGGCGGUCUGGAACCUUGUGCAGUGGCUGCCAUCACAUUUAUCAAGAUCGUUGAUGAGUACGGUUAUGCCAGCAGACGCAGAUGCAGCUGCAAACGUAAGUAGGCAUGUGAUCUGCAAGGGAUGAAAAUAGACAAAACAGUCACUUUGUUGCCUUCUUAGAAACUAACUUUAAACAAUAAAGAGAGAUGUUGAUUUCGUUCUUACUCCAUCUCCAACUGUGAAACAUCGAACAACCAAGUGAUUCCGAAGGCUUCUUCCCACCAGAAGAGCAUAAGCAUCGAUGAUAAAAAGAGACAAGCUCCACAGGCUUUGCAAGCUAACCGCAAAAACCAAACCACUGUCACAGUUUAUAGAUAUGUUUUGUCAGAUUCAUAUUUUUCCGUAAACCUUAGGUCUAAGAGUUGGAUUUUACUAGAAUGCGGUGAAGGAGUGGAAGUCGGGGGUGGUGAGCAUGACGGAGAGGGAGAUGAGAGAGGAGACGAACUGAGAGAGGCGGAGGAUGAGGCCGCCGGUGGUUCCUGGCAUGCCCUGAAUAUCUUUCAUCCUCACUGGCGGUCUAUCGUUGGCUCCGCCAGUAGGACCCACGGGGACAGCAAUUACCGGACGAACCGCCGGUCGGCUCACGUUCAUCAUGUGAAAGUGAGUCACUCUGAUAACACACACACAAAUGAGGAACUAACUCGACUGAGUUUGCUAAACUAAUUUCCUAAAGACAAAGACUUAUUCAACUAACUGAAUCUCUAACACAUGUAGGACUUUCGAACGUUUACCGCAAAAGUUCAAACAGACCCACCUUGUAAGACACGAAACUGCUACUUUGGCUGUCUGAAAAAUGGAAUUAGUGUGGAUUUUUUUUUUGGUCCACGAGUUAAUUAGUUAAUGUGAUGUGUUUUGACAGAAUCGACCCAAAACAUAGUAUUUAAUGUUCCUAACUUUUGAUAUCUAUUGACUUAGAGUAACCGACUUUGAAAGUUAGUAUAAAACAACUGUAGAAACUUUUAAUGUGGCUUACUAGAUUUUUGGUGCUAUUCUAAAGUAUUUAUGUUUUUAUAUUAUUUAUUUCAAAUAUGUUAGACAUAAUAUUAUAACUUAUUAGUACUAUUUUCGACAGUUUAUGUUAUUACUUUUGAAACAGAUUAUAUUUAAAUUAGUAGUAUAUAUUAAGCUAGAAAAACACUCGAAAUUUAUUUGAACACUUAAAAUAAAACUAUAUUUUUUGUUUCUUAUUCUUUUCCUGUGUUUAUUUGUGUUGUAGUAUUGAUAAUUGACUAAAUAAAUACAAACAAGAAAAUGUGAAACUUUUGUUGGUUACAGAACAGAGUUGAUGAUCUUACAGAGAAUUAAAGACAUUUAGUUUGGGGUUAAAAAGACAGUUCUAAUCAUUUACAACAAAGAACUUCCACCGAACUGGAAAUUGUUUUUACUUUACCCCAACUAAUCGGGAUCUAUUCCUUCCAUUUUUAGUAAGAUUAAUAAAAUCGUGAAAAUCUGACAUUUUCAUAUCUAUAUAUAAAAUCUUUAAAUAGUUAUCUAGAUAUAUUUAAAGUUAUCUAGAUUUUUUUUUUUUGAAAAAGUUAUCUAGAUAUAUUAGAUCUUGAUAAUAAUCAUUCUCCAGCCCUUUCCAUCUCCCAGCAGAGCUUAGACGCAACACUUUCAUGGGAAGGUGCAUAUUCCUGCAAAAUGACAACAACAACGUUUGAGAUUAUGUAGAGACCCAGAAACAAUUCAUUUUCUUCAAUUUACCUCAAGCUUCUUCACAAGCUCUUUAGCAGUAGGUUCAGAGACUAUGAUCUCACGAGCAGUCGGGCUGAUGAAUCCUUCUUCAACGGCUUUAUCGAUGAAUGAAAGCAGCGAGUUGUAGUAUCCAUCAACGUUGAGUAAACCCACCUGCAGAAAGUUUGUUUUAGUGAUUUUGGAUUCUUGAAUUUUUCCAUUUGAAGUAAGAAUAUUAGGGAGGUUUUUUUUUACAGGCUUGUCAUGAAUUCCAAGCUGAGCCCAAGUUAUGACCUCAAGCAAUUCUUCAAGUGUUCCAUAGCCUCCUACAAUUAUCGCACAAAAUUUUAGAUUUGAUUUGUCAAAAGAGAGCAGGUUAAUCUGUUACUAUGAUAUGGUCAAAUCAGUAGGUGUGUCAUGUACAAUACAAAACCAAAUAAUAGAGUCCUCUCCUCUCUGUUACUGUUUUGUACAUUGGUACUGACUAUGAUUACAAAAGCAGGAUCUUGACUUUCCAUUAAUGAUUUCAGAUUAAGUGUGGGCCAAAAAAUGCCAUUUGUGGGACUGUUUCAAGUUUUGUCUCUUAACUUGAAAAGGGCAAAGAAAAAAAGUUUGGUCAGAGUAAGACUACACAAGCUAUAGAGAGAGUACCCCCUAAGUUAAAAACAAAGCAGAGCAAUAACCAGAGUAAAAGAAAAGGAAAAAGGUAUAAUUCUAAGUGCCAGAUGUUGAUGGUUAAGGCCUUUUAUCUUACACUCUGGUGACUUUAAAUAUUUAGAUUUUUUUCAUUUCAAAGAAUAAUUAAAAAUAAAAAACUUUUCACAGCAGCUUUCACACUGCAGCUUGACCAAAACAUAAUGUUUUUUUUUGUGUAACUAAGAAAUCAUGUUUUUACCAAACUCUUUUCUUCUCUUUUUUUACAAAAUCAGUCCAGAAAAACAAACUUUUUCCUUUACAUGAACAAACCCUACUUUGAAACUUUGAUUACCCAUUCAAAUUGUUUUAAGAGGCUAUUCUUAAAAUUCUUUGCGUCACUAGGGUUUUGACAAGUUUUCGUAUGUUAUCAUUACUUACAUUGAAAGAACAGCAAAAUUUUGAGGUUUAGAAAUGUUUUUUGAGAAAGAAAACAUUUGAUUGAAAAUUUGGGUGGAUUGGGUUUAAAACAAAACCUGGUAAGGCAAUAAAAGCAUCAGAGUGCUUGGCCAUUUCAGCUUUCCUUUGGUGCAUAUCUGCAACUGCUCUUACUUCUCCUACUGUUUCACCAGUCAACUGCAAAAAACAAUGAUCAUCCACCAUUUUAAAAUAAAUAAAAGGAUGUUAAUUAAAAGUAGUUAAAGGGCAAAAGCAACUUUGGGCUCUUCUACAGGCAAACGCAAUGAUGUCACCGCAAGUAGUCGUAAUGUUUGGAUGUUUUUGAAAUCUCCUACAGAACCCUAACAUCUAGUUAACCUCUUUCUAAUCAUUUUCUUCAUAUAUCUUUUAUUCAGAUUACGGUAACCAAAUGAGGAUAUUUAUAUUUUAGGACACCUAAACUACUCGCAAUCAUGAGAUUUAAGAAAAGGUAACAAACAGGGAGAAGAGUAAAACCUAAGCAAACACCGAAGAUUAAAAUGGUUUUGAAUGGGAAUUUGGAGAACUUAAAAGAGAAAUUAAAUUAACAAAGAACAAUGUUUUAUUUUGAAAUUUUCUUCUUUGAAAAGUUCAUACCUCUCUAGGCAUGAGGGUCUUUGGAAUUAUUCUGCAGAGUGACAACAAAAGGACAAAGUUGGGUUUUAUUAGAAAUAUUCAGCAAUAUAAUCCAACACUUGUGUUCCAUCAGAAUCUCAAAAGACAGUUUUCUUUUGUAUGAUCUGAAGCUUACAAAGUUGUCAAAUAGUUUAAAGUUAUUUGACUAAGAAAAAGUUACCCAAUAACAUGACGACCACCAUUAUGAACAGCUUGUGAAACCAAACCCAUCAAGCCUAUGCUCCCACCUCCAUAGACUAGAUCAAUUUUCCUUGAGACCUGCAGAACAAAAAAAAAAACAGAGUUACACUUUUUUUUUUUUUUUUGUCACAAAAACAGAGUUACACAUUAGCCUAAACUUGAUGAUAAGUAGAGCAAAAAUCGUGUAACAAACCAGAACCAGAAUAUUCUGAAGUUAUACCAUCUGGCACGUUUCAAAGAAGAAAUAAAUGAAGCAAAGAUGCACAUCAUCUUAUCUCAAAACCAACCAGCAUAAUCAAAGACAUAAAUACGUUAAAAGUCAUGUAUGUGUUACCAGUUCGUUGCCGAGAUCUACAGCAGCAUCUUGGUAACUACUCUUCUUGCCUUGGCUGCUUCCACAGAAGACACAUAUUCUUUUGAACUUUGACUUUUGCAUCGUUUCAGCUUUGAUCUCCAUUGAAUAUGAUCCUAAACUUAUGAUAAAAUAUAAAACUUCUCCAGAAAGAGAAAAGGUAAACAAUUUUAAGGUUUCUUUCAGCACAAGAAUCUAAUUUCGCAAGACAGUUAUGAGUGACAAAGAAACCUAACUAAAUCUGAAAAAAUAAUUUAUUUUGGGAGUUGUUUUUAUCCUCACCACUAAUGUUUCCUGGCUCAAGGGUUGUUGUUAUAUAUAUAGUGCGUCAUCGAUUUAAGCUUACUUAUUUUAAAUUACAUUCUUUUUGAUGUUUACUAAAGCUAGCAGCCUAGCACAACAUUUAAUAAUACAAAUUUAGAAAAAAAAAUAGAAGGCUUUCGUUAAAAAGUUUAUUUUUUUGUUUGUUUGAAUACUUCAUUUCUGUUUUAUUCCCCAUAAAAAAAAUAUUUUUGACCAAAAUCUUAUAAAUCGUUGAUUUGAAUAUUUAAUAAAAAUCGAUAUUUUUUAGAUUUAUGUUGAGGUCUUUACACGGGAGAAAUUAAAGCACGCGUCUUUCACUACCCGCGCGGCACGCGUGACCGAAUUCUUCUUUGUGUUAAUUUUCCCUUACUAUAAAAUCACGUACAACAAUGAUAGACUAGUACCAUAAACCUUAUUUAUGGUCGUAAAUAACAAUUUUUUUUGUUACUUGAGAGGAAUUUGGAUCAAACCGUAAUCUCCGCUUAAACCUGAAACCAUGUGUCCAUGCAUUGAUAAUAGUUUAUGACAUGGCGUAGAACAUUUCUUUCCAUAUAAAUGACAAUUCUUCGUAAUGGACUUUAUGGUUAGACUCACAAUCACCCAACUAGAUAGAAAUGCCAUGUUAAUGCAGGCUAUAUCUCACAAGGAAUUAUUAUCAGUUGUGUUCUUUGUUGUUAAAGAUCAUAUAUAUCGUGUUUAGACUUCAUAACCCCCUCUUAUGAUUUCGUAAAGAAAGCUCUCAGUGAUUAAAAAAAAACUGAUUCAGUAAAGCUUCGUCAUUUUUCGUUCUUAAUCAAGAAUAGGAAAAAUAAUUAAUUUUCUAUAUAAAAAUAAGAAAAAUGGACAGCAUAUGUGGACAGUGUAAGAUGGGUACAAACGUUAUUAACUGAUACUCUUGAAAAACAAAUAGAGAAAGGGAAAAUAAAUAACCAAAAAUAACCAAGACAAAGGCCACACUAAUAUUCUAAUGGAACCAUGUAGAUGUCAUGGAUAAACCAAUGAGAUAUAUACACACUCACUUAUCUAAAGAGAUAUAUAGAAUGAAUAAGUUAAUGAGAUGAUGAUGUCUGGGAUAUGGAGCAAUGUGCCAUUGAUGAUUGACAUAAGAAAACAAAGUGAUGGCUUAUGUUACCAGUGUAGCCUAAUUCACCCUCCCUAUGUAGACAACCUUCUUCUUGUUCUUUGCAUAGAAAACGUUUCUUCUAUUUUUAUUCCCCUAUAUUCAUUUUCACCAUCCUAAGCUAUAGUAUGGAGUUGUGAUAUAAAAUUCUUUUAAUUUUUUUAGACUAUUAUUUUUGUCUUUCUCUUUCAGAAUAAAGUAAUCAUUAAAUCAUCGUUGAAUUAUUUAAAGUUAUGAAUUCAGAAACAUAUGCAAAUUAUCGCCUUGUGAAAGAAUGAAAAAUAAAAUUUCUUGUUACACUUCCCAUUUCAGGAGAACCUUUUAUAUAAUCUUGAUUUAUUGAAAAAUCAAAAAUUUAAAACCGAAAGCUGAGAGCUAAAACUAAUAAGAAAAAAAAAACACUAGUUUCGUUAAGACUCUAUCGUAACCCUAUUGACAUGUUGGCUUGGAAUACCAGGAACCUCCCCAACACUCUUAUACUUAACUGUAAGCAAACACUUACAAUAUACUUCAGAUCAUAUAUAUUUGUUUAUAACAUGUGUAUAUAGCGUAUGAGUAUUUAAAUAAGAAAAUAAAAUAAUUACAAUCCCAAGAUCUGAGUAGAUGCAACCCAUUCCUUCUAUAAACAAAUAAGUAAGUUUGUAAAAUAGUUUGUAUUAGUAUAUCUGCAUGCUUGCAUGCGCAUUUUUCUCUUGUUUUUCUUUUUCAUCUCUAGUUUCACUUCACAUUCUUCUUGGGUUUUUCACUUCCGACCCAAUUUUUAUUUUAUUAUAAUAACCAUGACGAUGGUAGUGAUACCACAAUUUAAUCAGAUAAUACUUUCAUGCAGUCCAAUUUGAAAGUGUUAAAUAUUUGAAAAUGAGCACAAGAGGUUUUAUAACUCGAAUCUUUUUAUAGUCUGUACAGAAAAAAAAAACAAAAAGACAAUUUUAAAGGUGGACGUUUGAAGAACAAAUUAUCCUUUUUACAAAAGGUUAAUAUCUGUCUCCAAUCGAUUUUGACAUGAUUUCAAAGACAUAUAGUGACAUAGCAUUAACGAACAUCUAACGGAAUCCUAAAUCACUUUAACUAAAAGAAGUUCAUAAAGAAAGAAAAAGUAUUAAGUUAGUCAUACAACUAGUUCAUUCUGUUCAUAAAGGGGUUCUAAGUAUUUAUAAAUAUCAAUUUUUCUUGGAGUGGUUCUCAACCUUUUCAAACAGGUCAACAUUUUUUACUUCCUUUUAUAAAAGGUUUUUGUUAAAUUAAGAAAAGUUCUUUCGAAAGAUGAAACUUGAAUCCUUUAUAUAUUUACUUAUCAGUUAAAGAAGUUCAUUCAUAUUAGACCCAAUACAAUUUUGUUCAUAAAGGGGUUCUAAUUAAGUAUUUAUAAUUAUCAAUUUCUAUGCAGACAUAGGAAAGGCUCCGCGCUUUCUAAUAAAUAUAUAUAUGGGUUAUUAUAUAUCCAUGCCUGACAAAAAGAAAAUGCUUAAUUUGAUUUAAUUUAAGAUUAAGGAGAUGAAGAUGAAAAAAUUAUUAACCCAUAUUAUUUUUUCAUUUAAGCUCUGGCUGUAAAAAAGCUGAACAACUUUUACCAUAUUAUUUUUUUCCGAAGUAUAUUAAAAAGAAGACAAUAUAUUUAUUCACUGUUUUAGGUUUUGUUCCAAGCUAUCACCACUAUUUUGUCAGUAGUACCAUAGAUUCAUGAUUAAAAAUGACUCAAAACCUUUCUUAAUAAAUAAAUUUUAAACCUUAAAUGAAAAACUUAAGCCAAACAUAGUAUCUCAAUAUUGUCUAUAAUUUCUUAAAAUAAAGGAUAAUAUCCUCACACAGUUUUUUGUAGUAGUGUUAAAAAGAACAGUAAUAGUAUAUUCGGAAUAAAAACCUUUUAAAUAUAGCAUCUACGGUAUUUUUUUAGCUUUUAUGAACUAUUUUAAUGAUUUAUUCUUGUUUUUGUUGUUGGUAAACAAAUAUUUUGAGAUGAUUUGUGUAUUGGAUGCAAACGGCAUAUUUAAAUUAAGGAAAUGCUAAUUGGGAGGCAGGAUAAAAUUCUUAUUAAUGUCCAUCGAAUUUUUUUUAUUAAAAAUGUUUGAAUAUGUAAUGUGCAUUGGAGUUAACUAUGACAUAUUCUUAUUACGGGUUGGUUUUGUCGUUGAAACAAACAAGAACGUUAUAUUAAGUUCAAAAAACAAACAAGAUGUUAUGGAGUCACACAACACUAUUUCGUACAGAAAUGAUACCUCUAGUUUUUAAAUGUAAUUUUUUUCCUACAAUUUUGACAUCUUUUAAAAGGAUAGUCCACGUAUGAGACUAUGUUAUGAUUGCAUGGGUAAAUACUUUAAUGUACAAGACGUGAAACUUAAUGCAAAACUAUCAAUAAAGGUCGAUAUGAUUCUUUAAACCAAAAAAAGUUCGAUAUGAUUCCGACAAUAUUUUAGAUUUAUGACUUUGAAACCCAAAAGGAACAGACAUUUACCACUUUGAACCGAAAAUAGAACCCCCAAACUUGUUUUUUUCCUCAACGGACCAACGUUAAAUCCACAAAUUAAGGAAUUGAAGAAAAGAGGAGACAAAAAAACAAGAAAGGAAAAGGGAAGAACAUGGAUUUGUAAAUGGUGAAAAGAGGGACAGUCAAAGGUCAGAGAGGGACAAAUCAUUUGUUUAGUAGUUAUCAUAAAGUGUCGGACAGUUAAUACCGUUACUUACGAGUCAAAUGUCUCUAUUACGUUUUCACUUAUCACUAGUUAGUGGUAACUUACUUAAAUUACUUUUUCAAAAAAAAAAAAACUUACUUAAAUUACCCUCCCAUCAAUCGAUUUAUAUUUUCAAAAUUUCUGUAUUGUGAAAAAGCCAUGCAUUGUUGACGCAAUUUUUUGUUGUUGUUACUUGUCAACUAUUGAUACGUACUACUAACCAUGUUAUGUAUACAAUGCAUCUUUACAUAAACCUCUUUCAGUAGACUAAAUUCACAUUCAAAUCUUUUGAGUUAAACAUGUUUAAAUUGGAAAAUAUUGAGAAAUAAUAACAAUAAAUAUUUAUUGCCCUUUUCAAAAAUAAAAAUAAAGAUUUAUGGUUUUUAGUAAUUACUUGAACUAAAUUUGUUAAAACUUACAUAUACUUACUACUUAGGCAGAUAAAUGACAACUUUUAAAACAGUUAAAGGACAACUUUACGUAUACAGCAUGUAUGUAAGGAGUUUAUGAAGACAAAAGGAGGAAAGAAUCUAACUUAUAGCAAGAAGAGUGGUGAACGUAAGAUGGAGAGAGUGAACAGUCAAAAUACAUUCAUUCAUUCCUUUGUUUUUUUUUCUCUUUUAGAAAUUAAAAUUUAUGUCGUUUGUUUUUGGGACAUUACCUACGUUCAUUUCAACUCUUUCAACCUUUCGGUCAUCUCUAUACGAAUAUACCCCCAUUUGUUUUACAUUUUUAUUUUCUUUUAAAAUUUAUGAAGUUACAUUGGCGCCUACAAUUCAAAAGAUUUAGUUUGACUGGUUUACACCAUGUGAAUCCCAUAGGAUAAAUUAUAAAUAAUUCAUAUGGUUUCUGACGUAUGCGUUAUACAUACCUAUAUUGCAUGUUAAAUAAUGCCCUUUUCUGAGAUGGUGAAUAGAUAGAUAUGUCGAAUUUUUAGUAUAUGAAGUUGAAAUUAUAAGAAAUAUCCUAAAAGUAUUUGCAUCGACAUUCAUUUGCUAAGGAAAAAGGUUAAAAAUGUCUUCAAAAAAGGGUAAUGGACGUUUAAUAUAGGAUUAAGUAGCAAAGGAGCAAACAUGGAACAUGUUCAUCUCCUAUGAAUGAGGUGAAUAAGUCAAAAAAAGAAGAAGAAUAAGUCAAAGUAGGUCUAGUUGCUGGACCGGUUCUAAGGACAACCGGAUAAAAAUCCAUCUUAAUCCCAAUUUUUUUUAAAACUAAGAACUAUUAUACGUAGACCACAUGGUCCAUAUACUAUCCAUAACUUUUUAGUAAGAUAAACCUGAUAAUGUUUGCCAAAGCUCCUUUAGAUUAAUGUUUGACAAAGUGGUCACUAAUGGUUAUACAUCAUGAAGUCUAAGUUCUGAAUCUUAUAGAAGGCAAAAUUGUGCUGGAGAUUUUUUUUAUAAAAGAUGGAGCAAAAAAUACCAUAAAACGUAGAUCUUAUAAGUCGGUUCAAAGUGAUGCAGUAAAAUGUAAAUUCUUAUAAAAAAUAGAAUCAUCAAUUAUAUAAUCGUUAUAAUAUUUUCAUGGUUUGCAAUAGCAUAGCUAUUCAACGUUAAGAAAAACCAAAUAAUGUUUUUUGGCCAUAAAUUUUCGAUCCGGCUUUGUUGCGCUGUCCACGUACAAAACUAUGGCAUAUAUAAUUCACGAGGUUUGAAAUAGUGUUCCUUUUAUUUGUUUAGUUAGUUCUCAAUAUUUUUCUUUCAAAUGAAUGACAAGAGAAAUCGUAUGAGACGAAUAUGAGAGAUAGGUUAAGAAUCAGGAUGUUUUCGUUCACAGUAUAUAUAAGAAAUUAUUAUAAGAGAUUGUAGCUUAUGGAACAACAUUAAGGGUAUGACUGGUUUCCUCGCUGCCACACGCAUGCGGUUGGUAGCGGUUAUUGGCGUUUUGCAACAAUCACUCAAACCGCUCUAAAUCGUUUCAAACCUCAUAAACUCAAAACUGGCUUCAGCUAGCGUUUGCGGUUACGGGAGGAUAAUUUUUUUCAAAACAAUAUAAACAUAAAAAUAAAAAAUUCAAUAAAAAUUUUAAAUUGGAAUUAUAAAAAUACUAAAAUAUAUCUAUUUUAUAUUUUAAUUAAUAUUAUAAAAUUUAACUUUUAAAAUAUAAUUUUUAUAUUUAUUAUAAUAUUAUAAUUUUUUAUAUUUUUAUAAUUAUAUAAAAUAUAAAUAUUGUUAAUUUAUUAUUUAACUGUUGUUGCAUCUGAUAGUUAAUCAGUCAUAAGUAUCCUGCAAAUGCACCAAUUUCUAACUAUAGAACCAGUCGUACAAAUCUCUUAAAACCGCUAGAACUGUAACCAUCCGCAUCAGCAAACUCCUGCGACCGCAACCGCAACCGAUACAUUUAAACAAGUCAGGCCCUAAGACGAUAACGUUUGUGGGCAGCAUCAUUAGCAAAGAGAACUACGUCUAUUAGCAUUAGAAACAAGUGAUGCUCUUCAUCAUCAUCAUCAUCAUAAACUACUUCCAAAGUGUUAUUACACGUAUGUGGUAUGCCGUAUAUAUAUGCAUAUACAGUUCUUUAUAGUAACCUACAUAUAUAUGUAGGUGUAGCCAUCGCAAUAUCUAGGUGUAUUGUAUAUUAGGGUAUAACAACGAACUUAGUAGAGUAGUAUGAAAUUACCUUAAACUUGGUUUAGUUUGGUUGAAACGCGUAAUUAAUAUCUUAGUAUGAAACUAAGAGUAUACACUUUAAGCAAAUAACUAGAUUUUGAUCCGCGCUUUUAAAGCGCGGAUUUAUUUUUUUAUUUUUUAAUUGACAAAUAUUUAGUAAAUGUCGUAUUUUUAUAUAUUUGUCUUUUAUUUUUAUGAAUGCUUAAAUUAUAUUAAGAAAAUAAAAAAAUAAUAAUUAAGAAUAGUUGAAAAAAAAUUAUUUUAACUUGGACUCAAUGGUCCAAAUGAAAAAAAAAAAGUGAGAAUUGAAUCUGAUUUUUUAAUAGGUCCAAAUGGCCCAAGAGAGAUUUGAUUUGGGCUGGAUCCAAAAAUAAUGAUCCAAUAUAGAUUUGUUAUUAAUAUUACUUAAUUGCCCUUAAUGAAACAUGCAAUGUUAGUGAAGAAAACAUACCCCUAAGGUAAUUAUGACAAUAGGAUCCUGCUUUAAUAAUAUAGAUUGAUUUCUCUUGAACCAACUUGCACUCAAUUUGCUCAUUCAACUGCGUAUUGUAUUUGAUUCAAAUAGAUUGCUGUGAUUUUGGUGUUUUACGUGGUUAUCAAAUGUGUUCAUACUCAUAAGCGCAGAAGAUCAGAAAGCAAUAAACAAGACAGAGAAGAUUGAAUCAAAAUAAAGCGAAGCAGUUAAUGACAGCAUUCAGACAGACAAGAACAUGGUCUUCCUUACAAAUCUUAACUCUAUAUGUUUUUCAAACAAAAGACCAUCCGUGCAUCCAAGGCACAACAACACAUAGCUUAGUACGGUCCACCGAAACUGCCAUCCUCUCACAAAAACUGCUUCAAAGCGCCUGUUACAAUUUCCUUUACUCAGAUAAAUCAGUCUAUGAAGUGGUUAAUGCCCAAAAGACCCAUCUAUAAGAACAAUAGUAUAAGUCAUACCUCUCCAGAGAAUAGGAAGCCAUAGAUUGGUGCUCAAAACUGGCGCCUUGGAGGCCUAGCCUCAGCUUCAGACACUCUAAUCUGCCUCCCGUCCAAAUCCUACAACAGGGUACAAAGUAUAAGCACAUCAAGAAUAGUUUCAUUGAUCAAACUGUCGGAAUAAAAAAGAUACUUACAGCACCAUCCAAUGUUCUGAUGGCAUUCUGAACCUCUUGAGCAGAGUUGUAAGUCACAAACCCAAAACCUUUCGACCUACCACUGUCCCUGUCGUAGAUGACUCUAGCCUCAACAACCUUCCCUUGCUCCCCGAACAAACUCUCGAGCGCCAUGUCGUCAACACCCCACGAGAGGUUACCAACAUAAACACGGUUCCCUGAACCAGCACCACCACCACCACCUCCACCAUAUCCUCCACCAGAGCUUCCAAAGCUGCUUCUAGGUCCUCUUGAGAAGGAGUCUUCCCUCUUCGGUGGAGGAGGACCCGCGUUAACUCUCAACGGUCUACCAUCCAACUCCUGCAAACAAAACCCAAUAAGAACAACAAAACAACACAAAGGUUCCAACUUUUUGUCUUUAGCAACCACAAGUUUUUGUCUUUAGCAACACAAAGGUUCCGACAUAAGGUAGAGAAGUAAGUAUGUUCUUACAUAGCCAUUGAACAACACAAAGGUUCCAACUUUUUGUCUUUAAACGCAUACUUACAUAGCCAUUGAACUGCUGUUCAGCUGUCUCAACUUCAGAAGCUGAAGACAUAGUCACAAACCCAAAACCUCUGCUUCUCCCUGUCACCUUGUCAUAGAUAACCUAAACAAAGACAACAAAACGAACAAUCACUAAAACCAAUCUCAAACAACAACAACAACAACAACAAAAAAGAUUCAAUCUUUAUCUCAUUUCUCGAAAACCCAUAACUCAAUUUUGAGUUUUUGACUCGUUACCUCAACCAUCUCGACGUUUCCGGCGCUCUCGAAGAGCUGAGCGAGCUGAGCGCUGUCGACGUUAAAGGGGAGGUUACCGACGAAGAGCUUGAGGUCAGAAGAGAAGGAUUGCUCCCGCCGCGGGGGAGGAGGAGCGUCGUCGUCAGCGAAGAUGCCGUCUUCUUCGACUGAGAAGUCGUCAGUAACCGCGACGUUACGGACGAAGCGAGAGGAAGCGGCGGAGAUGGAGAGGGAGAGGGAGGCGGAGAGGGAGUGGAGAUUGAAGGAGAGGGAAGGAGGUAGGAGGGAAACGGAGGCGGGUCUGGAGAUGGAGAAAGGAAGGGACUUGGGGGUGAAAGUGGAGAGAGCGAGAGAGGAAGCUGAAGCAGCCAUGGUGAAGAGAUGAGAAGAGAUAAGGUUUGUUUUUAGCUUUAGGGGUUUUUGAGAGUGGAGAUAAGAUGGUGUGUUUCUGAUAUUUAUGGGCCAAAUGGGAAUAAAUAUCUUUGCACAAAAUAUCUCAUUCUGAUUUUUAUUUACAAAUUUUGCCUCAAAACUUUAUUUGAUUGCUAAAUAUUCUGCUGCUAAUAAAAUUUGUCAAAUUUCAAUGAAUUUAUCUUAACGUCAUCUCUGAAAAAAAGUAUGUAUUUAAAAAAAAUAUAGGUUUUCAUAAAUUUGUAGACAAUUUCUUUAGAAAAUCUUAAUUUUCAAAAUAUUUUGUAUUUUUCUCACUUUAGUGGUGUUAGUUAUCUUUUUAUUGGAAGUCUCUACUUACUACUUGUCAUACGCUGAAGUGAGAUGACAGAUGAGAUGAGAUCUAAGCCGUAGAGUUUUGGAUGGACAGUGGAGAUGGCACGUCUCAUGCCAAAACCAAAAGAAAAAAUCUAUAAGAUAGGAUUUUUUAACUAAAAGCCAAUGGAAGUAGCAACUCUCGUUCCAGCACAGAUCUUUAACUCCAAUAAAUUCAGAAAACAAUACAGUUCCUCUAAAGAAAACCAUUGAAUCAUACAAAGGUUGCUCCCUUCAAAACAAGUUAAUAAGAAAUGAUGUAUUUGGAUAACAACAGAAGACUGAAGUUCUUGAACUGCAACACGCUUUUAGGAUCUCUUCAAUUGGAGGGUCAUCUCGAGCUUCUUUGUCCUGAAAUGUUCCAACAAACAAGUUGUUGAGUACGAGAUUGUGAUUAAUUUAUCUCUUUGAUUACAUUGACAUGGUGUAAACACAAGUAUUUGAUCAAAACGUGUUACCUGGUCCAUACUCCCCGGUCCGAUCAAAACAAGAGAAACACCAGAUGCAUCCAUCACAUGCUAAGAAAACCUCAAAUGUAUCACUUAAUGAAAUGACCAAACCAUCAUCAAGAUUUUGACAGUGGGGUGAAUCAUUUUACCUUCUUUUACGACAAGCAAGCUUUAAUACCCAACAUAGUAGUAGUAACCAAACACAUUCACCAAAUCUAAUAAGAAACUUCUCCAAAAAGAUUUAACCACCCAAAAUGACGAGCAAAUGCAACAACAGCCUUCCUAUCCUUCCACAAAAUCAGAAAUCAACAGUCUCUCUCCCUGUUCCAGUUCCUGUGAAGAAGAACCGAUUCAAUCUAGUUUAUAAUCUUUUCAGCUUCUCCAAAACAGAACAGAUUCUAAAACUUACCUGAAGCGCCGGUAAUGGCCGACACUGCCACCACGUUACGCCGGAGAGAAAAAUCUACUGGAGAUGAGAACUGGCCAAAGAACCAAACUUUACUGUCCCGUAAACCCAUGAAUCGUUUUUCAUCUUCUGAUUCAGCGUAACGGGAGUGAUCGUCGACGAAGACGGCGAUGAGAGAGAAACCGCCAUUGUUGUUUUUACUCCGGGAAAGCCGAAAGAAAUAAGAAAAAUCCUAACUUUAACGUUUUAGUUAGAAAAAAAAAAUCAAAUUAAAAAAAAUCAAACUUUAAGUUAUUACACGUUGUAUAGAUGACGUAAGCAUUGUCCGAAACAGAAAAAAGUCAAACGCCACGUAAGCUCAGUAAGAGUAAAAUUUUUUGGAAAAGGUAGAUCUUUUUUAAAAGCGAACUAGAUUUUGAUCCGCACAUCCGUGCGGGUAUUCGUUUAAACUUUUAAAAACAUACAAUAGAUAUUUACAUAAAAUUGUUAUAUUAGCGUUUUAUACCAGCUCAAAUAAGAUAAGCUUUUAGCACAUAUAUAAUUAUUAGUAAUACUAUAAGUAAGUAAUUAUUUGAGGUUUAUUUAUUUUAUGUUAUUCAUGUACAUUAAUAUUUAAAAUUUUAAAAAUAGUUAUUAUAUAUAAUAUAAAUGGACUACUUAGUUUUGGAAAGGAAAAAAAUUGAUAUUUUUUAAUAUUUAUGGAAUGGUAAAAACUAUUUUAUAUUGAUUUUAUAUCAUAUCAUUCGUAUUAAUAUAUAUAUGUACAGUUCACAACAGGUAAAAUUAAUUAAUUUUUAACUUUAAGAAAGAUUUUGUUAAGAUAUAUUAUCAUUUGAAACAAUAAUUAAUAUUUCCAUAUAUAAAAGUAAUUGAUGGUAUAUUUUUAAGGAAGAUUUUGUUAAGUUUAACUAAUAUAGUGCUCUUUUGCGAAAUAGACACUUUUUAUUAAUAAUAUUUUAUACGUACAAUCAUAUAAAUAAUCACAUAUAUUAUAUUUUAAAAUUUAAUGUGAAAUAUAAAAGCUAUAAUUUAAGUUGGUGUUUGAAAUUGGGCUUUGUAUUGCAUUUUUUUUGUAGAGUUUUGGAUGGACAGUGGAGAUGGCACGUCUCAUGCCAAAACCAAAAGAAAAAAUCUAUAAGAUAGGAUUUUUUAACUAAAAGCCAAUGGAAGUAGCAACUCUCGUUCCAGCACAGAUCUUUAACUCCAAUAAAUUCAGAAAACAAUACAGUUCCUCUAAAGAAAACCAUUGAAUCAUACAAAGGUUGCUCCCUUCAAAACAAGUUAAUAAGAAAUGAUGUAUUUGGAUAACAACAGAAGACUGAAGUUCUUGAACUGCAACACGCUUUUAGGAUCUCUUCAAUUGGAGGGUCAUCUCGAGCUUCUUUGUCCUGAAAUGUUCCAACAAACAAGUUGUUGAGUACGAGAUUGUGAUUAAUUUAUCUCUUUGAUUACAUUGACAUGGUGUAAACACAAGUAUUUGAUCAAAACGUGUUACCUGGUCCAUACUCCCCGGUCCGAUCAAAACAAGAGAAACACCAGAUGCAUCCAUCACAUGCUAAGAAAACCUCAAAUGUAUCACUUAAUGAAAUGACCAAACCAUCAUCAAGAUUUUGACAGUGGGGUGAAUCAUUUUACCUUCUUUUACGACAAGCAAGCUUUAAUACCCAACAUAGUAGUAGUAACCAAACACAUUCACCAAAUCUAAUAAGAAACUUCUCCAAAAAGAUUUAACCACCCAAAAUGACGAGCAAAUGCAACAACAGCCUUCCUAUCCUUCCACAAAAUCAGAAAUCAACAGUCUCUCUCCCUGUUCCAGUUCCUGUGAAGAAGAACCGAUUCAAUCUAGUUUAUAAUCUUUUCAGCUUCUCCAAAACAGAACAGAUUCUAAAACUUACCUGAAGCGCCGGUAAUGGCCGACACUGCCACCACGUUACGCCGGAGAGAAAAAUCUACUGGAGAUGAGAACUGGCCAAAGAACCAAACUUUACUGUCCCGUAAACCCAUGAAUCGUUUUUCAUCUUCUGAUUCAGCGUAACGGGAGUGAUCGUCGACGAAGACGGCGAUGAGAGAGAAACCGCCAUUGUUGUUUUUACUCCGGGAAAGCCGAAAGAAAUAAGAAAAAUCCUAACUUUAACGUUUUAGUUAGAAAAAAAAAAUCAAAUUAAAAAAAAUCAAACUUUAAGUUAUUACACGUUGUAUAGAUGACGUAAGCAUUGUCCGAAACAGAAAAAAGUCAAACGCCACGUAAGCUCAGUAAGAGUAAAAUUUUUUGGAAAAGGUAGAUCUUUUUUAAAAGCGAACUAGAUUUUGAUCCGCACAUCCGUGCGGGUAUUCGUUUAAACUUUUAAAAACAUACAAUAGAUAUUUACAUAAAAUUGUUAUAUUAGCGUUUUAUACCAGCUCAAAUAAGAUAAGCUUUUAGCACAUAUAUAAUUAUUAGUAAUACUAUAAGUAAGUAAUUAUUUGAGGUUUAUUUAUUUUAUGUUAUUCAUGUACAUUAAUAUUUAAAAUUUUAAAAAUAGUUAUUAUAUAUAAUAUAAAUGGACUACUUAGUUUUGGAAAGGAAAAAAAUUGAUAUUUUUUAAUAUUUAUGGAAUGGUAAAAACUAUUUUAUAUUGAUUUUAUAUCAUAUCAUUCGUAUUAAUAUAUAUAUGUACAGUUCACAACAGGUAAAAUUAAUUAAUUUUUAACUUUAAGAAAGAUUUUGUUAAGAUAUAUUAUCAUUUGAAACAAUAAUUAAUAUUUCCAUAUAUAAAAGUAAUUGAUGGUAUAUUUUUAAGGAAGAUUUUGUUAAGUUUAACUAAUAUAGUGCUCUUUUGCGAAAUAGACACUUUUUAUUAAUAAUAUUUUAUACGUACAAUCAUAUAAAUAAUCACAUAUAUUAUAUUUUAAAAUUUAAUGUGAAAUAUAAAAGCUAUAAUUUAAGUUGGUGUUUGAAAUUGGGCUUUGUAUUGCAUUUUUUUUUAUAUAUUGAAAAUAUUUUUAUAAUAGUUAUUGGAAAAUAUGUUAGUAAAAAUUAAAUUUUGAAUAUAUGUAUACUUUUAAAUGAAUUUUUGAUAUAAAUCAAUUUUAAAUUAUUAUUUUGAUUUGAAUAUAUAUAUCAAGUAACAUAGACCCAUUAUUUUUUAAUAUAAUAUAAUAGACUUCCAAUUUUUUAGUAGCAUAAGCCUAAUAUGUUUUUUCCUAACUUACUACUAUCUAUGUUUCCAAACAAUACUAUUUUUUUUAACUACUAUCCAUAUUGCCAAACAAUCUCAGUGUGUACUUCAACUUUAAUAAUAUAUAUAUAUAUAGAUGUUCCUUCUUUGCACGUUUAAGGGAUCUCAAGCCGCUUCUCUCUCUCACACAUCUCUGAAAUGGCGAGAGUAUUGCGUGUGGCGAGAUCCUCCUCCUCCCUCUUCAGCUUCGGAAGCAGAUCUUAUUCAGCCGAAGCUAGCCACGUGUCCUCUCCCCCUCCUCCGUUUCUUGGAGCUCGCAGAGACGUUACCAAGGAGAGAAACGUGCAGUGGGUGUUCCUCGGUUGUCCCGGUGUCGGGAAGGGGACUUACGCCAGCAGACUCUCGAGUCUCCUCGGUGUUCCUCACAUCGCCACCGGAGAUCUCGUCCGUGAUGCGCUAGCUUCUUCCGGACCUCUCUCCCGACAGGUUCUUGUUUCACUUUAUGUCCAAAUGAAUCCCAAAACGACGUCGUUUUCUGUUUAAAUCUGCUAAAAGUUCAUGUGUCUACCAACAGAUCUAAUGAACUAGUGUUUGUUUUGUCCUAACGGAUCUGAUCCUUUUUCUAAUAAUAGUCAACGGCUCUCUCCUCUUGCUUGUAUUGAGAUUCUUAUUACUUGAUUGCAGCUAUCAGAGAUUGUAAACCAGGGGAAGCUUGUUUCUGAUGAGAUCAUAGUGAACUUAUUAUCAAAGAGACUUGAAGCUGGUGAAGCCAAGGGCGAAUCAGGUUUCAUUCUUGAUGGCUUUCCUCGUACCAUGAGACAAGCUGUAAGUUAAUUCAUUGACUUCACAUCAUAUUGAGCAAAGUUUUGAAUGAUUAAUCUUUGUGUUUUCAGGAAAUAUUAGGAGAUGUCACUGACAUCGAUCUAGUGGUGAACUUAAAGCUACCUGAGGAGGUUUUGGUUGACAAAUGCUUAGGGAGGAGAACGUGUAAUCAAUGCGGUAAAGGUUUCAAUAUAGCUCACAUCAACUUAAAGGGUGAGAAUGGGAAACCAGGAAUCAGCAUGGAUCCACUUCUCCCUCCACCUCAGUGUAUGUCAAAGCUCAUCACUCGUGCUGAUGAUACUGAGGAGGUUGUGAAAGCUAGGCUCCGUAUUUACAAUGAAACCGUAAGUCCUCUUUCUCUCUCUCUAUUGUUCUUCCCAUUUUAGCGAUGCUUGAUGCUUUGAAUGAUGUGUGCAGAGCCAGCCUCUUGAAGAGUACUACCGUAUCAAGGGAAAGCUGAUGGAGUUUGACUUACCUGGAGGCAUCCCUGAGUCUUGGCCAAGGCUGUUAGAAGCUUUAAGGCUUGAUGAUUACGAGGAGAAGCAAUCUGCCGCGGCGUAGUUCAACUACAACUCCGGUUUAUAAUUCUUUGCAUGUGGAAGACAUGUGCCUAUAUCAGUUUUGUGUUGGAAAAUAAAGAAAACCUUAGAUUGUUUUUUUUUAUUGCCUCAGAUCAGAAUAAUCAUCAUCAUACACACUUUGCAAACUAUAUGAUGUAUCAUGAUUGUUUAUGAGUUUGCUAGUUACAGGAAUGUAUAAACACUUUGGUACACUUUUGAUUAUUUAUUGUUGAAUGUGAUCAAUGAUUGUUUAUGAGUUUGCUAGUUACAUUACAUGAAUGUAUCAAUACUUACACUGCUUGUUACACAUCAGGUUUGAUGUUUGGGCUCUUGUGAUUAGUUUGUUUAUUGUUGAAUGUGUGUGAUAAUAUUGCGGCUGGCCGAGCUGGCUGGUUAAAGAACACAACCAGACAGUAAAGUAAAACAGUCGCAUACAUUAAAGAUUUUGUGGAACGUAUAACCAGCUCCUGUCUGUCCUAGAAUUGGCGGUUCAGGAUAGAACUGUUCCUUACAUACUGGAACUUCCAGUAGAAUUUGAUGCUAAUUGUUGGUCCUAAACUAGUGUGUAUCAGUUGCUAUGUGAUCUCAUAACUGGACCUUAUCUUAUGGUUUGUGCUUGAGGUUUCUGAGAAAUCGCUGGGUUCAUUUGAUUCUUCUGGUUUGACAAUUAGUUUCUUGUUAUGGACACGGUGAAAUCAGACUCAAAUCGGUGGAAUAAGACAGCCUCAAAGAAGGCAGACAUAAUCAUGUUUGCUCUUGAUUCAUCUUCAAUCUCAACAGGACAUUAAAAUCAAUUUGUAGCUUUAUUUUGUUAGUAUAUAGAUUUGAUGAAAUAAACAACCUUUAAAUUAUAAAUAUAAAGAUGAAAAUAUUCUUAAACAUGAAACCGUUUUGAUCAAGAUUCAAAAAAAACUUCAUUAAAAGAUAGGGACAUCUUCUGAAACAUAUCCAAAAAGCUCUAAUGAAAAACAGCAAGAUAAGGUCUUUGAGAUGUAAUGCAAACUCAAGGCCUAGGAAGAUCCUCCUUAACGGUUGGCCUUCGCAACUCUCUCAAUCUCAUCCUUCUUCUUGAUGGCAUAGCUGCAAAAAAACAAGACAAGAUGCUAUUAGUAUUUAGCAACAAACAAACACAAUUUGUGAACCCGCUUUAAGAGACAAGACAAUGUAAAGAUGUUUACCUGUUGGAAGAUCCCUUGGCAGCAUUGAUGAGCUCAUCAGCAAGGCACUCAGCGAUUGUCUUGAUGUUUCUAAACGCAGCUUCACGUGCACCAGUGGUGAGCAAGAAGAUGGCUUGGUUCACACGUCUUAGAGGAGAGAUAUCAACAGCCUGCCUCCUAACCACACCAGCAGAUCCAAUCCUCGUCGCAUCCUCACGUGGACCACUAGCUCACCAAUAAAACACACACAACAUUAGAAAAAAAGGUUUCUAGUAACACGCAAUAAAGAAUGCAACAUUGUUGUCUUACCUGUUGACAAUGGCAUCAAUGAUAACCUGAAUAGGGUUCAAGUCAGUCAAGAGAUGGAUGAUCUCCAUGGCGUGCUUGAUGAUCCUCACAGCCAUCAGCUUCUUUCCGUUGUUCCUUCCGUGCAUCAUGAGAGAGUUCGUGAGCCUCUCAACAAUGGGACACUGAGCCUUCCUGAACCUCUUGACAGAGUAUCUUCCAGCAGUGUGGGGGACAAAGGUCGCGUGCUUAGGAGGCUGAACCCCAAUGUAGUCAACAAGACUAAUGUCUGUGCCCUACCCAUUCACAAAAAAAAAAAACACAAGAUCAACAAAACAAAUACUAAGAACAUAGCCAUUGUUGCCAAUUUAAAUUUUAGAGAUCUAAUAUUCAAAAACAAACCAAACAACACAGAAAGUGUUGGACUUUAAGACAAAGAAACAUCAGGAUCAACCAAGUGUACUGAGACAAUAAAACAUGAAUUGAAAAUUAACAAAAAUAAAAACAAAAAGAGGACAUUUUUUCCGACAUAACUCCAUGAGUUAUAUCUAAUUCAGACAAUGUAACUAUUUUUUUGUAAUAGACCAAUCAUUUCAUUGUAGAAUUAGAUCCUAUAAAGAUUGCAAAUGAGCUAUCGUAAACUUACCGAAACGUCAUCAAAGCUCCAGCGAUUGAAGAGCUUGACCUCGUUGGUAAGCUGCUGCUGAAUCUCAGCGUCAAUCUCAACGGCGGCGGCCAUGGCUGGAAACACCAAACAUACUUACACUGCUUGUUACACAUCAGGUUUGAUGUUUGGGCUCUUGUGAUUAGUUUGUUUAUUGUUGAAUGUGUGUGAUAAUAUUGCGGCUGGCCGAGCUGGCUGGUUAAAGAACACAACCAGACAGUAAAGUAAAACAGUCGCAUACAUUAAAGAUUUUGUGGAACGUAUAACCAGCUCCUGUCUGUCCUAGAAUUGGCGGUUCAGGAUAGAACUGUUCCUUACAUACUGGAACUUCCAGUAGAAUUUGAUGCUAAUUGUUGGUCCUAAACUAGUGUGUAUCAGUUGCUAUGUGAUCUCAUAACUGGACCUUAUCUUAUGGUUUGUGCUUGAGGUUUCUGAGAAAUCGCUGGGUUCAUUUGAUUCUUCUGGUUUGACAAUUAGUUUCUUGUUAUGGACACGGUGAAAUCAGACUCAAAUCGGUGGAAUAAGACAGCCUCAAAGAAGGCAGACAUAAUCAUGUUUGCUCUUGAUUCAUCUUCAAUCUCAACAGGACAUUAAAAUCAAUUUGUAGCUUUAUUUUGUUAGUAUAUAGAUUUGAUGAAAUAAACAACCUUUAAAUUAUAAAUAUAAAGAUGAAAAUAUUCUUAAACAUGAAACCGUUUUGAUCAAGAUUCAAAAAAAACUUCAUUAAAAGAUAGGGACAUCUUCUGAAACAUAUCCAAAAAGCUCUAAUGAAAAACAGCAAGAUAAGGUCUUUGAGAUGUAAUGCAAACUCCUUACAUAGCCAUUGAACUGCUGUUCAGCUGUCUGAACCUCAGAGGCUGAAGACAUAGUCACAAACCCAAAACCUCUGCUUCUCCCUGUCACCUUGUCAUAGAUAACCUAAACAAAGACAACAAAACGAACAAUCACUAAAACCAAUCUCAAACAACAACAACAACAACAACAAAAAAGAUUCAAUCUUUAUCUCAUUUCUCGAAAACCCAUAACUCAAUUUUGAGUUUUUGACUCGUUACCUCAACCAUCUCGACGUUUCCGGCGCUCUCGAAGAGCUGAGCGAGCUGAGCGCUGUCGACGUUAAAGGGGAGGUUACCGACGAAGAGCUUGAGGUCAGAAGAGAAGGAUUGCUCCCGCCGCGGGGGAGGAGGAGCGUCGUCGUCAGCGAAGAUGCCGUCUUCUUCGACUGAGAAGUCGUCAGUAACCGCGACGUUACGGACGAAGCGAGAGGAAGCGGCGGAGAUGGAGAGGGAGAGGGAGGCGGAGAGGGAGUGGAGAUUGAAGGAGAGGGAAGGAGGUAGGAGGGAAACGGAGGCGGGUCUGGAGAUGGAGAAAGGAAGGGACUUGGGGGUGAAAGUGGAGAGAGCGAGAGAGGAAGCUGAAGCAGCCAUGGUGAAGAGAUGAGAAGAGAUAAGGUUUGUUUUUAG
This 61080-nucleotide long non-coding RNA is filed under the name Brassica napus (rape). Its description in RNAcentral is "long non-coding RNA (BNAP_LNC003746)". The record is from RNAcentral. Lineage: Eukaryota; Viridiplantae; Streptophyta; Magnoliopsida; Brassicales; Brassicaceae.